CGACAAGUGAAUGAACAUUUUAAAGCAAAAAUGAGGUCUCUAGGUGAAAGUAUGCUGAAGUUAUAAGGUCUAGAAGGUGGAAGAAAAAAAGGAAGAAUUGGAAGAUUUCCCCAUUGACUUCAAUGUUAAAAUUUUUUGCACAAAAAGUUAAAAAAAACAAAAAGUAUAAAUGUUAGAAAAGUGAAAAGUAAUAGCAAACGUGUCCUGAAGGAGUGGAAUAGUUUAAAGUUUGAACGGUUGAAAUCGCACAAACUGGGAAGGAGUUGAAAGCGGACGAAAAACGGCGGAAGAAUAAUAAUAAUAAUAAAGAAACGGGAGAAUAACAAUAAGUGGAAAUGCUUAAUCAGCAUUUCCACUUAAUAAUAAUAACUAGAAAAAUUGCAUUUCCUUGCAGAAAUUGCGUGGAAAUGCUGAGUGCUGAAAGCUGAAAAAGCAAUGCUAAACUGCUAAGAAAACAUGGAGAAAGGUAUAAAUGUUAAAGCUUUUGAAGGGGUGAAAAAGAAAUAUAAGUUGGAUAAUGGUUUAAUUGGUUGAAGGACAAAUAGUAUGAAUAUGCUCUAUAAAAGGAAAUUUGAUUCAUGCUGAAUGAGGCUAGAAAAAUGUCUAAAAUUGCACAAAGUUUGAAUGAAGAAGGAAAUUGCCUUAAAAGGCAGGAAGGUGAGAAGUGGCAUUAGUUUAAGUUUUAGUACUAGAAGUAGUAUGAUAAGAGGUCAAGUCGUGAUACUAGUAGUCGUGUCAGCAGUAGAAGUAGUUUGAGAAUAAAAGAAGUAUAAGUCAAAAUAGUAGAGAAAGUAGAAACAGUAGCAAUAGCAGUUGAAGUAGAGAAAGUAGAAAUAGGAGCAAUAGCAGUUGAAGUAGAGGGGAAAGUACUAGUUCAAUUGACAUUAGCAGUAGUUGUCGUACUUGAGGUAGGAUUUUGUUUGAAGGAUGGAGUAAUGCAUGAAUAUUAAAACUAAUUGAAAACAUGGAAAAUUUAAAUACUUAAAAAUCCUCAAGUAUCAGUUUGAAUGAGUUUAAAUUAGUUUGAAAAAUUAAAUGAUAAAUCAUCAAUGAGUGACUUAUAAAAGUGAAAAAUGUAAAUAAAUAAAAAUCCUGAAUACACCCCAUAAUGUCCUCAAUGAGCUUAAAUUUUAAAGCCCUGAAUGGUUUCUGUAGGUCAAAGGUCAUGUGAGGAGAUAGGGGCUGAAGUUUUUUCAAGCGCUCUAGGAAAGGGUUUUAAGUGUCAUCCCCAGUGCUAUGUGUACUGAGCCUGGCUUCAUGUGUCUCAUUUGGCCAUUAGAAGCAGCUUUCCAGUCAGCUGUGUGUCUCCAGGUGCACAAAUUGGUUGCCAUGGGGACCUUGGAUGCAUAACUUUAGCAGGAGAAAGAAGGCUUGAAGCUAAGGAAACAGGACUCCAAGUAGGCCCUGACGCUCAUCCUCUGUAUCUAUUCCUGAUAAGGAGCUUGUGAGAACACAAGACUCUGCUAAACACAUUAAUACAAUUUAUUAUCACAAUCCUCAAAACACCCCAUAAUAUCUUCAAUGAGCUGAAUUUUAGAAGCCCAGAAUGGUUUCUGUAGCUCAAAGUUUGUGGGUGGAGAUAGGUGGCGAAGCAGACACAUAUUAACUGUGUGUACAAGCAGCUGAACUGCAAGGUAGACCUCAUAAAGCAACAAGUACAAGAAUGUGUGUGUGUGUGUGUGUGUGUGUCGUUAAUGACUGCAUCCUAAACAGCUGUGAGAUCAAAGGCAAAUCACUGACCUACUGUUUGACUGAGAGGUGCUGAACUGCUGAGGAUUUGUAGCCUCUGAACUUCUUCACAUAGCGUGAUUUCCUUAAAUCCCAGAAUGAAAAUAAGAACAUCGUACGAAUCCUCCGCCCUUCAUGAACACAAUGAUGUGUUUUUCAUGUCUGUACUUCGAAAAAUGAGGCCACAACAGCGAGUUAAAAAAGUCUGAGCCUGAGCGAUGAUCCGGAUUUUCUUGGAGAAAAAUAACAUUACGGUCAAUGGGAGAGAUUUCCGCCUUCCUUGGACAGUUGGUCACCUGCUGGCCAAGGGGUACGAUUUAAUGAUUUGAAACCUCUUUUGUGAGAAGCAGGACACAUAUACCUCCAUUUUGAUGUAUUAUUUGUGUCAGUGGAGUGAGAUUUGUGGGCGUGGGAGCGAUAUAUUCGAGCGAGGUUCUGUCGAUCAGAGACGAGGUCUGCACUCUAGCUGAUGACAUCAUCACUCUAAACUCUCCAAUACACACCCAUUAUAAAGCUUGAAAUUUGCUGAAAACCACAAGUUGCUUAAAGCUAAAUUGUGGAAAAACUGUAAGAGAUAUCAAAAAACUGAGUACAACUGUAAUAGUCGACAAGUGAAUGAACAUUUUAAAGCAAAAAUGAGGUCUCUAGGUGAAAGUAUGCUGAAGUUAUAAGGUCUAGAAGGUGGAAGAAUAAAAGGAAGAAUUGGAAGAUUUCCCCAUUGACUUCAAUGUUAAAAUUUUUGCACAAAAAGUUAAAAAAAACAAAAAGUAUAAAUGUUAGAAAAGUGAAAAGUAAUAGCAAACGUGUCCUGAAGGAGUGGAAUAGUUUAAAGUUUGAAUGGUUGAAAUCGCACAAACUGGGAAGGAGUUGAAAGCGGACGAAAAACGGCGGAAGAAUAAUAAUAAUAACUAGAAAAAUUGCAUUUCCUUGCAGAAAAUGCGUGGAAAUGCUGAGUGCUGAAAGCUGAAAAAGCAAUGCAAAACUGCUAAUAAAACAUGGAGAAAUGUAUAAAUGUUAAAGCUGUCUAAGGGGUGUGAAAGAAAUGUAAGUUGGAUAAUUGAUUAAUUGGUUGAAGGACAAAUAGUAUGAAUAUGCUCUAUAAAAAGAAAUUUUAUUCAUGCUGAAAGAGGCUAGAAAAAUGUCUAAAAUUGCACAAAGUUUGAAUGAAGAAGGAAAUUGCCUUAAAAGGCAGGAAGGUGAGAAGUGCCAUAAGUUUAAUUUUUUAAGUAUUAGAAAGGUUUGAAUCAGUUUGAAUCAGUUCAAAUUAGUUUGAAAAAUUAAAUGAUAAAUCAUCACUGAGUGACUUUAAAAUGUGAAAAAUCUAAAUGUAUAUAAAUCCUAAAUACACCCCAUAAUGUCCUCAAUGAGCUCAAAUUUUAAAGCCCUGAAUGGUUUCUGUAGGUCAAAGGUCAUGUGAGGAGAUAGGGGCUGAAGUUUUUUCAAGCACUCUAGUAAAGGGUUUUAAGUGUCAUCCCCAGUGCUAUGUGUGCUGAGCCUGGCUUCAUGUGUCUCAUAUGGCCAUUAGAAGCAGCUUUCCAGUCAGCUGUGUGUCUCCAGGUGCACUAAUUGGUUGCCAUGGGGACCUUGGAUGCAUAACUAUAGCAGGAGAAAGAAGGCUUGAAGCUAAGGAAACAGGACUCCAAGUAGGCCCUGACGCUCAUCCUCUGUAUCUAUUCCUGAUAAGGAGCUUGUGAGAACACAAGACUCUGCUAAACACAUUAAUACAAUUUAUUAUCACAAUCCUCAAAACACCCCAUAAUAUCUUCAAUGAGCUGAAUUUUUGAAGCCCAGAAUGGUUUCUGUAGCUCAAAGUUUGUGGGUGGAGAUAGGUGGCGAAGCAGACACAUAUUAACUGUGUGUACAAGCAGCUGAACUGCAAGGUAGACCUCAUAAAGCAACAAGUACAAGAAUGUGUGUGUGUGUGUGUGUGUGUGUGUGUGUGUCUCGUUAAUGACUGCAUCCUAAACAGCUGUGAGAUCAAAGGCAAAUCACUGACCUACUGUUUGAAUGAGAAGCAGCUGAACUGCAGAGGAUUUAGAGGCUCUAAACUUCUUCACAUAGCGUGAUUUCCUUAAGUCACAGAAUGAAAAUAAGAACAUCGUACGAAUCCUCCGCCCUUCAUGAACACAAUGAUGUAUUUUUCAUGUCUGUACUCCGACAAAUGUGGCCACAACAGCGAGUUAAAAAAGUCUGAGCCUGAGCGAUGAUCCGGAUUUUCUUGGAGAAAAAUAACAUUAUGGUCAAUGGGAGAGAUUUCCGCCUUCUUUGGACAGUUGGUCACCUGCUGGCCAAGGGGUACGAUUUAAUGAUUUGAAACCUCUUUUGUGAGAAGCAGGACACAUAUACCUCCAUUUUGAUGUAUUAUUUGUGUCAGUGGAGUGAGAUUUGUGGGCGUGGGAGCGAUAUAUUCGAGCGAGGUUCUGUCGAUCAGAGACGAGGUCUGCACUCUAGCUGAUGACAUCAUCACUCUAAACUCUCCAAUACACACCCAUUAUAAAGCUUGAAAUUUGCUGAAAACCACAAGUUGCUUAAAGCUAAAUUGUGGAAAAACUGUAAGAGAUAUCAAAAAACUGAGUACAACUUUAAUAGUCGACAAGUGAAUGAACAUUUUAAAGCAAAAAUGAGGUCUCUAGGUGAAAGUAUGCUGAAGUUAUAAGGUCUAGAAGGUGGAAGAAUAAAAGGAAGAAUUGGAAGAUUUCCCCAUUGACUUCAAUGUUAAAAUUUUUGCACAAAAAGUUAAAAAAAACAAAAAGUAUAAAUGUUAGAAAAGUGAAAAGUAAUAGCAAACGUGUCCUGAAGGAGUGGAAUAGUUUAAAGUUUGAACGGUUGAAAUCGGACAAACUGGGAAGGAGUUGAAAGCGGACGAAAAACGGCGGAAGAAUAAUAAUAAUAAUAAUAAUAAUAAUAAUAAAGAAACGGGAGAAUAACAAUAAGUGGAAAUGCCUAUCAGCAUUUCCACUUAACUAGAAAAAUUGCAUUUCCUUGCAGAAAAUGCGUGGAAAUGCUGAGUGCUGAAAGCUGAAAAAGCAAUGCUAAACUGCUAAUAAAACAUGGAGAAAGGUAUAAAUGUUAAAGCUGUUGAAGGGGUGAACAGAAAUAUAAGUUGGAUAAUUGAUUAAUUGGUUGAAGGACAAAUAGUAUGAAUAUGCUCUAUAAAAGGAAAUUUUAUUCAUGCUGAAAGAGGCUAGAAAAAUGUCUAAAAUUGCACAAAGUUUGAAUGAAGAAGGAAAUUGCCUUAAAAGGCAGGAAGGUGAGAAGUGGCAUAAGUUUAAUUUUUUAAGUAUUAGAAAGGUUUGAAUCAGUUUGAAUGAGUUUAAAUUAGUUUGAAAAAUUAAAUGAUAAAUCAUCACUGAGUGACUUUAAAAUGUGAAAAAUUUAAAUGAAUAUAAAUCCUAAAUACACCCCAUAAUGUCCUCAAUGAGCUCAAAUUUUAAAGCCCUGAAUGGUUUCUGUAGGUCAAAGGUCAUGUGAGGAGAUAGGGGCUGAAGUUUUUUCAAGCGCUCUAGGAAAGGGUUUUAAGUGUCAUCCCCAGUGCUAUGUGUACUGAGCCUGGCUUCAUGUGUCUCAUAUGGCCAUUAGAAGCAGCUUUCCAGUCAGCUGUGUGUCUCCAGGUGCACAAAUUGGUUGCCAUGGGGACCUUGGAUGCAUAACUAUAGCAGGAGAAAGAAGGCUUGAAGCUAAGGAAACAGGACUCCAAGUAGGCCCUGACGCUCAUCCUCUGUAUCUAUUCCUGAUAAGGAGCUUGUGAGAACACAAGACUCUGCUGAACACAUUAAUACAAUUUAUUAUCACAAUCCUCAAAACACCCCAUAAUAUCUUCAAUGAGCUGAAUUUUAGAAGCCCAGAAUGGUUUCUGUAGCUCAAAGUUUGUGGGUGGAGAUAGGUGGUGAAGCAGACACAUAUUAACUGUGUGUACAAGCAGCUGAACUGCAAGGUAGACCUCAUAAAGCAACAAGUACAAGAAUGUGUGUGUGUGUGUGUGUGUGUGUGUCGUUAAUGACUGCAUCCUAAACAGCUGUGAGAUCAAAGGCAAAUCACUGACCUACUGUUUGAAUGAGAAGCAGCUGAACUGCAGAGGAUUUAGAGGCUCUAAACUUCUUCACAUAGCGUGAUUUCCUUAAGUCCCAGAAUGAAAAUAAGAACAUCGUACGAAUCCUCCGCCCUUCAUGAACACAAUGAUGUCUUUUUCAUGUCUGUACUUCGAAAAAUGAGGCCACAACAGCGAGUUAAAAAAGUCUGAGCCUGAGCGAUGAUCCGGAUUUUCUUGGAGAAAAAUAACAUUAUGGUCAAUGGGAGAGAUUUCCGCCUUUUUUGGACAGUUGGUCACCUGCUGGCCAAGGGGUAGGAUUUAAUGAUUUGAAACCUCUUUUGUGAGAAGCAGGACACAUAUACCUCCAUUUUGAUGUAUUAUUUGUGUCAGUGGAGUGAGAUUUGUGGGCGUGGGAGCGAUAUAUUCGAGCGAGGUUCUGUCGAUCAGAGACGAGGUCUGCACUCUAGCUGAUGACAUCAUCACUCUAAACUCUCCAAUACACACCCAUUAUAAAGCUUGAAAUUUGCUGAAAACCACAAGUUGCUUAAAGCUAAAUUGUGGAAAAACUGUAAGAGAUAUCAAAAAACUGAGUACAACUAUAAUAGUCGACAAGUGAAUGAACAUUUUAAAGCAAAAAUGAGGUCUCUAGGUGAAAGUAUGCUGAAGUUAUAAGGUCUAGAAGGUGGAAGAAUAAAAGGAAGAAUUGGAAGAUUUCCCCAUUGACUUCAAUGUUAAAAUUUUUGCACAAAAAGUUAAAAAAAACAAAAAGUAUAAAUGUUAGAAAAGUGAAAAGUAAUAGCAAACGUGUCCUGAAGGAGUGGAAUAGUUUAAAGUUUGAACGGUUGAAAUCGCACAAACUGGGAAGGAGUUGAAAGCGGACGAAAAACGGCGGAAGAAUAAUAAUAAUAAUAAUAAUAAUAAUAAUAAAGAAACGGGAGAAUAACAAUAAGUGGAAAUGCCUAUCAGCAUUUCCACUUAACUAGAAAAAUUGCAUUUCCUUGCAGAAAAUGCGUGGAAAUGCUGAGUGCUGAAAGCUGAAAAAGCAAUGCUAAACUGCUAAUAAAAUGUUGAGAAAGGUUUAAAUGUUAAAGCUGUUGAAGGGGUGAAAAAGAAAUAUAAGUUGGAUAAUGGUUUAAUUGGUUGAAGGACAAAUAGUAUGAAUAUGCUCUAUAAAAGGAAAUUUUAUUCAUGCUGAAAGAGGCUAGAAAAAUGUCUAAAAUUGCACAAAGUUUGAAUGAGGAAGGAAAUUGCCUUAAAAGGCAGGAAGGUGAGAAGUGGCAUAAGUUUAAGUUGUAGUACUAGAAGUAGUAUGAUAAGAGGUCAAGUCGUUAUACUAGUAGUCAUGUAAGCAGUAGAAGUAGUUUGAGAAUAAAAGAAGUAUAAGUCAAAGCAGUAAAGAAAGUAGAAAUAGUAGCGAUAGCAGCAGUAGAGAAAGUAGAAAUAGGAGCAAUAGCAGUUGAAGUAGAGGGGAAAGUACUAGUUUAAUUGACAUUAGCAGUAGUUGUAGCUCUGGAGGUAGGAUUUUGUUUGAAGGAUGGAGUAAUGCAUAAAUAUUAAAACUAAUUUAAAACAUGGAAAAUUUAAAUAAUUAAAAAUCCUCAAGUAUCAGAAAGUUUUAAAGUAUUAGAAAGGUUUGAAUCAGUUUGAAUGAGUUAAAAUUAGUUUGAGAAAUUAAAUGAUAAAUCAUCACUGAGUGACUUUAAAAUGUGAAAAAUUUAAAUGACUAUAAAUCCUAAAUACACCCCAUAAUGUCCUCAAUGAGCUUAAAUUUUAAAGCCCUGAAUGGUUUCUGUAGGUCAAAGGUCAUGUGAGGAGAUAGGGGCUGAAGUUUUUUCAAGCGCUCUAGGAAAGGGUUGUAAGUGUCAUCCCCAGUGCUAUGUGUACUGAGCCUGGUUUCAUGUGUCUCAUAUGGCUAUUAGAAGAAGCUUUCAAGUCAGCUGUGUGUCUCCAGGUGCACUAAUUGGUUGCCAUGGGGACCUUGGAUGCAUAACUAUAGCAGGAGAAAGAAGGCUUGAAGCUAAGGAAACAGGACUCCAAGUAGGCCCUGAAACUCAUCCUCUGUAUAUAUUCAUGAUAAGGAGCUUGUGAGAACACAAGACUCUGCUGAACACAUUAAUACAAUUUAUUAUCACAAUCCUCAAAACACCCCAUAAUAUCUUCAAUGAGCUGAAUUUUUCAAGCCCAGAAUGGUUUCUGUAGCUCAAAGUUUGUGGGUGGAGAUAGGUGGUGAAGCAGACACACAUUAUCUGUGUGUACAAGCAGGUGAACUGCAAGGUAGACCUGACAAUGCAACAAGUACAAGAAUGUGUGUGUGUGUGUGUGUGUGUCUCAUUAAUGACUGCAUCCCUAACAGCUGUGAGAUCAAAGGCAAAUCACUGACCUACUGUUUGAAUGAGAAGCAGCUGAACAGCAGAGGUUUUGAAGCCUGUGAACUUCUUCACAUAGCACGAUUUCCUUAAGUCCCAGAAUGAAAAUAAGAACAUCGUACGAAUCCUCCGUCCUUCAUGAACACAAUGAUGUGUUUUUCAUGUCUGUACUCCGAAAAAUGUGGCCACAACAGCGAGUUAAAAAAGUCUGAGCCUGAGUAACGAUAAGGAUUUUCUUGGAGAAGAAAUACAUUAGGGCCAAUGGGGAGAUAUUUGCGCUUAUUUGGACAGUUGGUCACCUGCUGGCCAAGGGGUACGAUUUAAUGAUUUGAAAACUCUUUUGUGAGAAGCAGGACACAUAUACCUCCAUUUUGAUGUAUUAUUUGUGUCAGUGGAGUGAGAUUUGUGGGCGUGGGAGCGAUAUAUUCGAGCGAGGUUCUGUCGAUCAGAGACGAGGUCUGCACUCUAGCUGAUGACAUCAUCACUCUAAACUCUCCAAUACACACCCAUUAUAAAGCCUGAAAUUUGCUGAAAACCACAAGUUGCUUAAAGCUAAAUUGUGGAAAAACUGUAAAAGAUAUCAAAAAACUGAGUACAACUAUAAUAGUCGACAAGUGAAUGAACAUUUUAAAGCAAAAAUGAGGUCUCUAGAUGAAAGUAUGCUGAAGUUAUAAGGUCUAGAAGGUGGAAGAAUGAAAGGAAGAAGUUGAAGAUUUCCCCAUUGACUUCAAUGUUAAAAUUUUUGCACAAAAAGUUAAAAAAAACAAAAAGUAUAAAGGGUAGAAAGAAAAAAAAUAGACGCCAUCAUGUCCUGAAGGAGUGGAAUAGUUUAAAGUUUGAACGGUUGAAAUCGGACAAAGUUUGAAGGAGGAGAAGCGGUCCAAAAAAGGGACGGAAGAAUAAUAAUAAUAACUAGAAAAAUUGCAUUUCCUUGCAGAAAAUGCGUGGAAAUGCUGAGUGCUGAAAGCUGAAAAAGCAAUGCUAAACUGCUAAUAAAACAUGGAGAAAGGUAUAAAUGUUAAAGCUGUUGAAGGGGUGAAAAAGAAAUAUAAGUUGGAUAACUGUUUAAUUGGUUGAAGGACAAAUAGUAUGACUAUGCUCUAUAAAUGGAAAUUUUAUUCAUGCUGAAAGAGGCUAGAAAAAUGUCGAAAAUUGCACAAAGUUUGAAUGAAGAAGGAAACUGCCUUAAAAGGCAGGAAGGUGAGAAGUGGCAUAAGUUUAAGUUGUAGUACUAGAAGUAGUAUGAUAAGAGGUCAAGUCGUGAUACUAGUAGUCAUGUCAGCAGUAGAAGUAGAUUGAGAAUAAAAGAAGUAUAAGUCAAAGUAGUAAAGAAAGUAGAAAUAGGAGCAAUAGCAGUUGAAGUAGAGGGGAAAGUACUAGUUUAAUUGACAUUAGCAGUAGUUGUCGUACUUGAGGUAGGAUUUUUUUUGAAGGAUGGAGUAAUGCAUAAAUAUUAAAACUAAUUUAAACAUGGAAAAUUUAAAUAAUUAAAUUUCACAAGUAUCAGAAAGUUUUGAAGUAUUAGAAAGGUUUGAAUCAGUUUGAAUGAGUUUAAAUUAGUUUGAAAAAUUAAAUGAUAAAUCAUCACUGAGUGACUUUAAAAUGUGAAAAAUUUAAAUGAAAAUAAAUCCUAAAUACACCCAAUAAUGUCCUCAAUGAGCUUAAAUUUCAAAGCCCUGAAUGGUUUCUGUAGGUCAAAGGUCAUGUGAGGAGAUAGGGGCUGAAGUUUUUUCAAGCGCUCUAGGAAAGGGUUUUAAAUGUCAUCCCCAGUGUUAUGUGUACUGAGCCUGGCUUCAUGUGUCUCAUAUGGCCAUUAGAAGCAGCUUUUCAGUCAGCUGUGUGUCUCCAGGUGCACAAAUUGGUUGCCAUGGGGACCUUGGAUGCAUAACUAUAGCAGGAGAAAGAAGGCUUGAAGCUAAGGAAACAGGACUCCAAGUAGGCCCUGAUGCUCAUCCUCUGUAUAAAUUCAUGAUAAGGAGCUUGUGAGAACACAAGACUCUGCUGAACACAUUAAUACAAUUUAUUAUCACAAUCCUCAAAACACCCCAUAAUAUCUUCAAUGAGCUGAAUUUUAGAAGCCCAGAAUGGUUUCUGUAGCUCAAAGUUUGUGGGUGGAGAUAGGUGGUGAAGCAGACACAUAUUAACUGUGUAUACAAGCAGCUGAACUGCAAGGUAGACCUGACAGCAAAAAGUACAAGAAUCUGUGUGUGUGUGUGUGUGUGUGUGUGUGUGUGUGUGUGUGUGUGUCUCGUUAAUGAUUGCAUCCUAAACAGCUGUGAGAUCAAAGCAUUAACUAACCUAUUGUUUGAAUGGAGAAGCUGCCGAACUGCAGUGAAUUUAGGGUUCUGAACUUCUUCACAUAGCACGAUUUCCUUAAAUCCCAGAAUGAAAAUAAGAACAUCGUACGAAUCCUCCAUCCUUCAUGAACACAAUGAUCUGUUUUUCAUGUCUGUACUCCAAAAAAUGUGGCCACAACAGCGAGUUAAAAAAGUCUGAGCCUGAGGGACGAUAAGGAUUUUCUUGGAGAAAAAAUACAUUAGGGCCAAUGGGGAGAGAUUUGCGCCUAUUUGGACAGUUGGUCACCUGCUGGCCAAGGGGUACGAGUUAAUGAUUUGAAACCUCUUUUUUGAGAAGCAGGACACAUAUACCUCCAUUUUGAUGUAUUUUUUAUGGCUGUGGAGUGAGAUUUGUGGGCGUGGGAGCGAUAUAUUCGAGCGAGGUUCUGUCGAUCAGAGACGAGGUCUGCACUCUAGCUUUUCAAAUCAUCACUCUAGCCUCUCCAAUACACCCCCAUUAUAAAGCCUGAAAUUUGCUGAAAACCACAAGUUGCAUAAAGCUAAAUUGUGGAAAAACUGUAAAAGAUAGCAAAAAAAGGUUAAUACAACAUCAAUAGUCGACAAGACAAUGAACAUUUUAAAGCAAAAAUUAGGUCUCUAGGUGAAAGUAUGCUGAAGUUAUAAGGCAUAGAAAGUGGACGAAUAACAGGAAGAAUUGGAACAUUUCCCCAUUCAUUUCUAUGGGAAAAAAAGUUUGGCACAAAAAGUGAAAAAUAAUAAAAAGUAUAAAGGGUAGAAAAGAGAAAAGUAAUAGCCAUCAUGUCCUGAUAGAGCGGAAUAGUUUAAAGUUUGAACGGUUGAAAUCGGACAAAGUUUGAAGGAGGAGAAGCGGUCCAAAGAAACGUAUGGGGAGAGUGUUAAGUAUAACUAGAAAAAUUGCAUUUCCUUGCAGAAAAUGCGUGGAAAUGCUGAGUGCUGAAAGCUGAAAAAGCAAUGCUAAACUGCUAAUAAAACAUGGAGAAAGGUAUAAAUGUUAAAGCUGUUGAAGGGGUGAAAAAGAAGUAUAGUAAGUAAGGACAAAUAGUAUGAAUAUGCUCUAUAAAAGGAAAUUUGAUUCAUGCUUAAAGAGGCUAGAAAAAUGUCUAAAAUUGCACAAAGUUCGAUUGAAGAAGGAAAUUGCCUUAAAAGGCAGGAAGGUGAGAAGUGGCAUAAGUUUAAGUUGUAGUACUAGAAGUAGUAUGAUAAGAAGUCAAGUCGUGAUACUAGUAGUCAUGUCAGCAGUAGAAGUAGUUUGAGAAUAAAAGAACUAUAGCAAUAGCAGUUGAAGUAGAGAAAGUAGAAAUAGGAGCAAUAGCAGUUGAAGUAGAGGGGAAAGUACUAGUUAAAUUGACAUUAGCAGUAGUUGUCGUACUUGAGGUAGGAUUUUGUUUGAAGGAUGGAGUAAUGCAUGAAUAUUAAAACUAAUUUAAAACAUGGAAAAUUUAAAUACUUAAAAAUCCUCAAGUAUCAGUUUGAAUGAGUUUAAAUUAGUUUGAAAAAUUAAAUGAUAAAUCAUCAAUGAGUGACUUAUAAAAGUGAAAAAUGUAAAUGAAUAUAAAUCCUGAAUACACCCCAUAAUGUCCUCAAUGAGCUUAAAUUUUAAAGCCCUGAAUGGUUUCUGUAGGUCAAAGGUCAUGUGAGGAGAUAGGGGCUGAAGUUUUUUCAAGCGCUCUAGGAAAGGGUUUUAAGUGUCAUCCCCAGUGCUAUGUGUACUGAGCCUGGCUUCAUGUGUCUCAUAUGGCCAUUAGAAGCAGCUUUCCAGUCAGCUGUGUGUCUCCAGGUGCACAAAUUGGUUGCCAUGGGGACCUUGGAUGCAUAACUAUAGCAGGAGAAAGAAGGCUUGAAGCUAAGGAAACAGGACUCCAAGUAGGCCCUGACGCUCAUCCUCUGUAUAUAUUCAUGAUAAGGAGCUUGUGAGAACACAAGACUCUGCUGAACACAUUAAUACAAUUUAUUAUCACAAUCCUCAAAACACCCCAUAAUAUCUUCAAUGAGCUGAAUUUUUCAAGCCCAGAAUGGUUUCUGUAGCUCAAAGUUUGUGGGUGGAGAUAGGUGGUGAAGCAGACACAUAUUAACUGUGUGUACAAGCAGCUGAACUGCAAGGUAGACCUGACAAUGCAACAAGUACAAGAAUGUGUGUGUGUGUGUGUGUGUGUGUGUGUGUGUGUGUGUGUGUGUGUGUGUGUGUGUCUCGUUAAUGACUGCAUCCUAAACAGCUGUGAGAUCAAAGGCAAAUCACUGACCUACUGUUUGACUGAGAGGUGCUGAACUGCUGAGGAUUUAUAGCCUCUGAACUUCUUCACAUAGCGUGAUUUCCUUAAGUCCCAGAAUGAAAAUAAGAACAUCGUACGAAUCCUCCGCCCUUCAUGAACACAAUGAUGUGUUUUUCAUGUCUGUACUCCGAAAAAUGUGGCCACAACAGCGAGUUAAAAAAGUCUGAGCCUGAGUGGGGAUAAGGAUUUUCUUGGAGAAGAAAUACAUUAGGUCUAAUGGGGAGAGAUUUCCGCCUAUUUGGACAGUUGGUCACCUGCUGGCCAAGGAGUACCAUUUAAUGAUUCGAAACCUCUUUUGUAAGAAGCAGGACACAUAUACCUCCAUUUUGAUGUAUUUUUUAUGGCUGUGGAGUGAGAUUUGUGGGCGUGGGAGCGAUAUAUUUGAGCGAGGUUCUGUCGAUCAGAGACGAGGUCUGCACUCUAGCUUUUCAAAUCAUCACUCUAGCCUCUCCAAUACACCCCCAUUAUAAAGCCUGAAAAUUGCUGAAAACCACGAGGUGCUUCAAGCUAAAUUGGGGGAAAACUGUAGAAGAUAGCACAAAAAAGUUAAUACAACAUCAAUAGUCGACAAGUGAAUGAACAUUUUAAAGCAAAAAUGAGGUCUCUAGGUGAAAGUAUGCUGAAGUUAUAAGGCUUAGAAGGUGGAAGAAGAAAAAGAAGAAUUGGAAGAUUUCCCCAUUCAUUUCUAUGGGAAAAAAAGUUUGAGACAAAAAGUGAAAAAUAAUAAAAAGUAUAAAGGGUAGAAAAGAGAAAAGUAAUAGCCAUCAUGUCCCGAUGGAGUGUAAUAGUUUAAAGUUUGAACGGUUGAAAUCGGACAAAGUUUGAAGGAGGAGAAGCGGUCCAAAGAAACGUAUGGGGAGAGUGUUAAGUAUAAUACUAGAAAAAUUGCAUUUCCUUGCAGAAAAUGCGUGGAAAUGCUGAGUGCUGAAAGCUGAAAAAGCAAUGCUAAACUGCUAAUAAAACAUGGAGAAAGGUAUAAAUGUUAAAGCUGUUGAAGGGGUGAACAGAAAUAUAAGUUGGAUAAUUGAUUAAUUGGUUGAAGGACAAAUAGUAUGAAUAUGCUCUAUAAAAGGAAAUUUUAUUCAUGCUGAAAGAGGCUAGAAAAAUGUCGAAAAUUGCACAAAGUUUUAAUGAAGAAGGAAAUUGCCUUAAAAGGCAGGAAGGUGAGAAGUGGCAUAAGAUUCAGUUGUAGUACUAGAAGUAGUAUGAUAAGAAGUCAAGUCGUGAUACUAGUAGUCAUGUCAGCAGUAGAAGUAGAUUGAGAAUAAAAGAAGUAUAAGUCAAAGUAGUAAAGAAAGUAGAAAUAGGAGCAAUAGCAGUUGAAGUAGAGGGGAAAGUUCUAGUUUAAUUGACAUUAGCAGUAGUUGUCGUACUUGAGGUAGGAUUUUGUUUGAAUGAUGGAGUAAUGCAUAAAUAUUAAAACUAAUUUAAAACAGGGAAAAUUUAAAUUAUCAAAAGUCCUCAAGUAUCAGAAAGUUUUGAAGUAUUAGAAAGGUUUGAAUCAGUUUGAAUGAGUUUAAAUUAGUUUGAAAAAUUAAAUGAUAAAUCAUCACUGAGUGACUUUUAAAAUGUGAAAAAUUUAAAUGAAUAACAAUCCUAAAUACACCCAAUAAUGUCCUCAAUGAGCUUAAAUUUCAAAGCCCUGAAUGGUUUCUGUAGGUCAAAGGUCAUGUGAGGAGAUAGGGGCUGAAGUUUUUUCCAACGCUCUAGGAAAGGGUUUUAAGUGUCAUCCCAAUUGCUAUGUGUACUGAGCCUGGCUUCAUGUGUCUCAUAUGGCCACUAGAAGCAGCUUUCCAGUCAGCUGUGUGUCUCCAGGUGCACAAAUUGGUUGCCAUGGGGACCUUGGAUGCAUAACUAUAGCAGGAGAAAGAAGGCUUGAAGCUAAAGAAACAGGACUCCAAGUAGGCCCUGACGCUCACCCUCUGUAUAUAUUCAUAAGGAGCUUGUGAGAACACAAGACUCUGCUGAACACAUUAAUACAAUUUAUUAUCACAAUCCUCAAAACACCCCAUAAUAUCUUCAAUGAGCUGAAUUUUUGAAGCCCAGAAUGGUUUCUGUAGCUCAAAGUUUGUGGGUGGAGAUAGGUGGUGAAGCAGACACAUAUUAACUGUGUGUACAAGCAGCUGAACUGCAAGGUGGACCUCAAAAAGCAACAAGUACAAGAAUGUGUGUGUGUGUGUGUGUGUGUGUGUGUGUGUGUGUGUGUGUGUGUGUGUGUGUGUGUGUGUGUGUAUGUGUGUCUCGUUAAUGAUUGCAUCCUAAACAGCUGUGAGAUCAAAGGCAAAUCACUAACCAACUGUUUGACUGAGAGGUGCUGAACUGCAGUGAAUUUCAGCCUGUGAACUUCUUCACAUAGCGUGAUUUCCUUAAGUCCCAGAAUGAAAAUAAGAACAUCGUACGAAUCCUCCGUCCUUCAUGAACACAAUGAUGUGUUUUUCAUGUCUGUACUUCGAAAAAUGAGGCCACAACAGCGAGUUAAAAAAGUCUGAGCCUGAGCGAUGAUCCGGAUUUUCCUGGAGAAAAAUAACAUUAUGGUCAAUGGGAGAGAUUUCCGCCUUUUUUGGACAGUUGGUCACCUGCUGGCCAAGGGGUACGAUUUAAUGAUUUGAAACCUCUUUUGUGAGAAGCAGGACACAUAUACCUCCAUUUUGAUGUAUUAUUUGUGUCAGUGGAGUGAGAUUUGUGGGCGUGGGAGCGAUAUAUUCGAGCGAGGUUCUGUCGAUCAGAGACGAGGUCUGCACUCUAGCUGAUGACAUCAUCACUCUAAACUCUCCAAUACACACCCAUUAUAAAGCUUGAAAUUUGCUGAAAACCACAAGUUGCUUAAAGCUAAAUUGUGGAAAAACUGUAAAAGAUAUCAAAAAACUGAGUACAACUUUAAUAGUCGACAAGUGAAUGAACAUUUUAAAGCAAAAAUUAGGUCUCUAGGUGAAAGUAUGCUGAAGUUAUAAGGUCUAGAAGGUGGAAGAGGAAAAGGUAGAUUUUAAGAUUUCCCCAUUCAUUUUUAAUGGUACAAAUUUUGCACAAAAAGUUAAAAAAAACAAAAAGUAUAAAGGGUAGAAAGGAAAAAAAUAGACGCCAUAAUGUCCUGAAUGAGUGGAAUAGUUUAAAGUUUGAACGGUUGAAAUCGGACAAAGUUUGAAGGAGGAGAAGCGGUCCAAAAAUCGGCGGAAGAAUAAUAAUAAGUUUAAUAAAGAAACAGGAGAAUAACAAUAAGUGGAAAUGCUUAAUCAGCAUUUCCACUUAACUAGAAAAAUUGCAUUUCCUUGCAGAAAAUGCGUGGAAAUGCUGAGUGCUGAAAGCUGAAAAAGCAAUGCUAAACUGCUAAUAAAACAUGGAGAAAGGUAUAAAUGUUAAAGCGUUUGAAGGGGUGAAAAAGAAAUGUAAGUUGGAUAAUUGAUUAAUUGGUUGAAGGACAAAUAGUAUGAAUAUGCUCUAUAAAAGGAAAUUUUAUUCAUGCUGAAAGAGGCUAGAAAAAUGUCUAAAAUUGCACAAAGUUUGAAUGAAGAAGGAAACUGCCUUAAAAGGCAGGAAGUUGAGAAGUGGCAUAAGUUUAAGUUGUAGUACUAGAAGUAGUAUAGGAGGUCAAGUCGUGAUACUAGUAGUCAUGUCAGCAGUAGAAGUAGUUUGAGAAUAAAAGAAGUAUAAGUCACAGUAGUAGAGAAGGUAGAAAUAGGAGCAAUAGCAGUUGAAGUAGAGAAAGUAGAAAAAGGAGCAAUAGCAGUUGAAGUAGAGGGGAAAGUACUAGUUCAAUUGACAUUAGCAGUAGUGGUCGUACUUGAGGUAGGAUUUUGUUUGAAGGAUGGAGUAAUGCAUAAAUAUUAAAACUUAUUUAAAACAGGGAAAAUUUAAAUAAUCAAAAAUCCUCAAGUAUCAGAAAUUUUUAAAGUAUUAGAAAGGUUUGAAUCAGUUUGAAUGAGUUUAAAUUAGUUUGAAAAAUUAAAUGAUAAAUCAUCACUGAGUGACUUUUAAAAGUGAAAAAUUUAAAUGAAUCCUGAAUACACCCCAUAAUGUCCUCAAUGAGUUUAAAUUUUAAAGCCCUGAAUGGUUUCUGUAGGUCAAAGGUCAGGUGAGGAGAUAGGAGCUGAAGUUUUUUCAAGCGCUCUAGAAAAGGGUUUUAAGUGUCAUCCCCAGUGCUAUGUGUACUGAGCCUGGCUUCAUAUGUCUCAUAUGGCCAUUAAAAGCAGCUUUCUAGUCAGCUGUGUGUCUCCAGGUGCACAAAUUGGUUGCCAUGGGGACCUUGGAUGCAUAACUAUAGCAGGAGAAAGAAGGCUUGAAGCUAAGGAAACAGGACUCCAAGUAGGCCCUGACGCUCAUCCUCUGUAUAUAUUCAUGAUAAGGAGCUUGUGAGAACCACAAAAACUGCUGAACACAUUAAUACAAUUUAUUAUCAAAAUCCUCAAAACACCCCAAAAUGUCCUCAAUGAGCUGAAUUUUUCAAGCCCAGAAUGGUUUCUGUAGCUCAAAGUUUGUGGGUGGAGAUAGGUGGUGAAGCAGACACAUAUUAUCUGUGUGUACAAGCAGGUGAACUGCAAGGUAGACCUGACAAUGCAACAAGUACAAGAAUGUGUGUGUGUGUGUGUGUGUGUGUGUGUGUCUCAUUAAUGACUGCAUCCUAAACAGCUGUGAGAUCAAAGGCAAAUCACUGACCUACUGUUUGAAUGACAAGCAGCUGAACAGCAGAGGAUUUGAAGCCUGUGAACUUCUUCACAUAGCGUGAUUUCCUUAAGUCCCAGAAUGAAAAUAAGAACAUCGUACGAAUCCUCCGUCCUUCAUGAACACAAUGAUGUGUUUUUCAUGUCUGUACUCCGAAAAAUGUGGCCACAACAGCGAGUUAAAAAAGUCUGAGCCUGAGUGACGAUAAGGAUUUUCUUGGAGAAGAAAUACAUUAGGGCCAAUGGGGAGAUAUUUGCGCCUAUCUGGACAUUUGGUCACCUGCUGGCCAAGGGGUACGAUUUAAUGAUUUGAAACCUCUUUUGUGAGAAGCAGGACACAUAUACCUCCAUUUUGAUGUAUUAUUUAUGGCUGUGGAGUGAGAUUUGUGGGCGUGGGAGCGAUAUAUUCGAGCGAGGUUCUGUCGAUCAGAGACGAGGUCUGCACUCUAGCUGAUGACAUCAUCACUCUAAACUCUCCAAUACACACCCAUUAUAAAGCUUGAAAUUUGCUGAAAACCACAAGUUGCUUAAAGCUAAAUUGUGGAAAAACUGUAAGAGAUAUCAAAAAACUGAGUACAACUUUAAUAGUCGACAAGUGAAUGAACAUUUUAAAGCAAAAAUGAGGUUUCUAGGUGAAAGUAUGCUGAAGUUAUAAGGUCUAGAAGGUGGAAGAAUAAAAGGAAGGAGUGGAAGAUUUCCCCAUUGACUUUAAUGUUAAAAUUUUUGCACAAAAAGUUAAAAAAAUCAAAAAGUAUAAAAGGUAGAAGAGUGAAAAGUAAUAGCCAUAAUGUCCUGAAGGAGUGUAAUAGUUUAAAGUUUGAACGGUUGAAAUCGGACAAAGUUUGAAGGAGGAGAAGCGGUCCAAAAAAGGGACGGAAGAAUAAUAAUAAUAAAGAAAAAUGGCCGACAGGAAUAACAAUAAGUGGAAAUGCUUAAUCAGCAUUUCCACUUAACUAGAAAAAUUGCAUUUCCUUGCAGAAAAUGCGUGGAAAUGCUGAGUGCUGAAAGCUGAAAAAGCAAUGCUAAACUGCUAAUAAAACAUGGAGAAAGGUAUAAAUGUUAAAGCUGUUGAAGGGGUGAAAAAGAAAUAUAAGUUGGAUAAUUGAUUAAUUGGUUGAAGGACAAAUAGUAUGAAUAUGCUCUAUAAAAGGAAAUUUUAUUCAUGCUGAAAGAGGCUAGAAAAAUGUCGAAAAUUGCACAAAGUUUGAAUGAAGAAGGAAAUUGCCUUAAAAGGCAGGAAGGUGAGAAGUGGCAUAAGUUUAAAUUGUAGUACUAGAAGUAGUAUGAUAAGAAGUCAAGUCGUGAUACUAGUAGUCAUGUCAGCAGUAGAAGUAGAUUGAGAAUAAAAGAAGUAUAAGUCAAAGUAGUAAAGAAAGUAGAAAUAGGAGCAAUAGCAGUUGAAGUAGAGGGGAAAGUUCUAGUUUAAUUGACAUUAGGAGUAGUUGUCGUACUUGAGGUAGGAUUUUAUUUGAAUGAUGGAGUAAUGCAUAAAUAUUAAAACUAAUUUAAAACAGGGAAAUUUUAAAUUUCCUCAAGUAUCAGAAAGUUUUGAAGUAUUAGAAAGGUUUGAAUCAGUUUGAAUGAGUUUAAAUUAGUUUGAAAAAUUAAAUGAUAAAUCAUCACUGACUGACUUUUAAAAUGUGAAAAAUUUAAAUGAAUAACAAUCCUAAAUACACCCAAUAAUGUCCUCAAUGAGCUUAAAUUUCAAAGCCCUGAAUGGUUUCUGUAGGUCAAAGGUCAUAUGAGGAGAUAGGGGCUGAAGUUUUUUCCAACGCUCUAGGAAAGGGUUUUAAGUGUCAUCCCAAUUGCUAUGUGUACUGAGCCUGGCUUCAUGUGUCUCAUAUGGCCACUAGAAGCAGCUUUCCAGUCAGCUGUGUGUCUCCAGGUGCACAAAUUGGUUGCCAUGGGGACCUUGGAUGCAUAACUAUAGCAGGAGAAAGAAGGCUUGAAGCUAAAGAAACAGGACUCCAAGUAGGCCCUGACGCUCACCCUCUGUAUAUAUUCAUAAGGAGCUUGUGAGAACACAAGACUCUGCUGAACACAUUAAUACAAUUUAUUAUCACAAUCCUCAAAACACCCCAUAAUAUCUUCAAUGAGCUGAAUUUUUGAAGCCCAGAAUGGUUUCUGUAGCUCAAAGUUUGUGGGUGGAGAUAGGUGGUGAAGCAGACACAUAUUAACUGUGUGUACAAGCAGCUGAACUGCAAGGUGGACCUCAAAAAGCAACAAGUACAAGAAUGUGUGUGUGUGUGUGUCUCGUUAAUGACUGCAUCCUAAACAGCUGUGAGAUCAAAGGCAAAUCACUAACCUACUGUUUGACUGAGAGGUGCUGAACUGCAGUGAAUUUCAGCCUGUGAACUUCUUCACAUAGCGUGAUUUCCUUAAGGCCCAGAAUGAAAAUAAGAACAUCGUACGAAUCCUCCGCCCUUCAUGAACACAAUGAUGUCUUUUUCAUGUCUGUACUUCGAAAAAUGUGGCCACAACAGCGAGUUAAAAAAGUCUGAGCCUGAGUGGGGAUAAGGAUUUUCUUGGAGAAGAAAUACAUUAGGUCUAAUGGGGAGAGAUUUCCGCCUAUUUGGACAGUUGGUCACCUGCUGGCCAAGGGGUAGGAUUUAAUGAUUUGAAACCUCUUUUGUGAGAAGCAGGACACAUAUACCUCCAUUUUGAUGUAUUUUUUAUGGCUGUGGAGUGAGAUUUGUGGGCGUGGGAGCGAUAUAUUCAGGCGAGGUUCUGUCGAUCAGAGACGAGGUCUGCACUCUAGCUUUUCAAAUCAUCACUCUAGCCUCUCCAAUACACCCCUAUUAUAAAGCCUGAAAUUUGCUGAAAACCACAAGUUGCAUAAAGCUAAAUUGUGGAAAAACUGUAAAAGAUAGCACAAAGAGGUUAAUACAACAUCAAUAGUCGACAAGACAAUGAACAUUUUAAAGCAAAAAUGAGGUCUCUAGGUGAAAGUAUGCUGAAGUUAUAAGGUCUAGAAGGUGGAGGAAUAACAGGAAGAAUUGAAAGAUUUCCCCAUUCAUUUCUAUGGGGAAAAAAGUUUGGCACAAAAAGUGAAAAAUAAUAAAAAGUAUAAAGGGUAGAAAAGAGAAAAGUAAUAGCCAUCAUGUCCUGAUGGAGCGGAAUAGUUUAAAGUUUGAACGGUUGAAAUCGGACAAAGUUUGAAGGAGGAGAAGCGGUCCAAAGAAACGUAUGGGGAGAGUGUUAAGUAUAAUACUAGAAAAAUUGCAUUUCCUUGCAGAAAAUGCGUGGAAAUGCUGAGUGCUGAAAGCUGAAAAAGCAAUGCUAAACUGCUAAUAAAACAUGGAGAAAGGUAUAAAUGUUAAAGCUGUUGAAGGAGUGAAAAAGAAAUAUAAGUUGGAUAAUUGUUUAAUUGGUUGAAGGACAAAUAGUAUGAAUAUGCUCUAUAAAUGGAAAUUUUAUUCAUGCUGAAAGAGGCUAGAAAAAUGUCUAAAAUUGCACAAAGUUUGAAUGAAGAAGGAAAUUGCCUUAAAAGGCAGGAAGGUGAGAAGUGGCAUAAGUUUAAGUUGUAGUACUAGAAGUAGUUUGAUAAGAGGUCAAGUUGUGAUUCUAGUAGUCAUGUCAGCAGUAGAAGUAGAUUGAGAAUAAAAGAAGUAUAAGUCAAAGUAGUAAAGAAAGUAGAAAUAGUAGCAAUAGCAGCAGUAGAGAAAGUAGAAAUAGGAGCAAUAGCAGUUGAAGUAGAGGGGAAAGUUCUAGUUAAAUUGACAUAAGUAGUUGUAGCUCUAGAGGUAGGAUUUUGUUUGAAGGACGAAUUAAUGCAUAAAUAUUAAAACUAAUAUAAAACAGGGAAAAUUUUAUUAAUUAAAAAUCCUCAAGUAUCAGAAAGUUUUGAAGUAUUAGAAAGGUUUGAAUCAUUUUGAAUGAGUUUAAAUUAGUUUGAAAAAUUAAAUGAUAAAUCAUCACUGAGUGACUUUAAAAUGUGAAACAUUUAAAUGAAUAUAAAUCCUAAACACACCCCAUAAUGUCCUCAAUGAGCUUAAAUUUUAAAGCCCUGAAUGGUUUCUGUAGGUCAAAGGUCAUGUGAGGAGAUAGGGGCUGAAGUUUUUCUAGCGCUCUAGGAAAGGGUUUUAAGUGUCAUCCCAAGUGCUAUGUGUACUGAGCCUGGCUUCAUGUGUCUCAUAUGGCCAUCAGAAGCAGCUUUCCAGUCAGCUGUGUGUCUCCAGAUGCACUAAUUGGUUGCCAUGGGGACCUUGGAUGCAUAACUAUAGCAGGAGAAAAAUUGAAGCUAAGGAAACAGGACUCCAAGUAGGCCUUGACGCUCAUCCUAUGUAUAUAUUAAUGAUAAGGAGCUUGUGAGAACACAAGACUCUGCUGAACACAUUAAUACAAUGUAUUAUCACAAUCCUCAAAACACCCCAUAAUAUCUUCAAUGAGCUGAAUUUUUGAAGCCCAGAAUGGUUUCUGUAGCUCAAAGUUUGUGGGUGGCGAUAGGUGGUGAAGCAGACACAUAUUAACUGUGUGUACAAGCAGCUGAACUGCAAGGUGGACCUCAAAAAGCAACAAGUACAAGAAUGUGUGUGCGUGUGUGUGUGUGUGUCUCGUUAAUGACUGCAUCCUAAACAGCUGUGAGAUCAAAGGCAAAUCACUAACCUACUGUUUGACUGAGAGGUGCUGAACUGCAGUGAAUUUCAGCCUGUGAACUUCUUCACAUAGCGUGAUUUCCUUAAGUCCCAGAAUGAAAAUAAGAACAUCGUACGAAUCCUCCGUCCUUCAUGAACACAAUGAUGUCUUUUUCAUGUGUGUACUCCGAAAGAUGUGGCCACAACAGCGAGUUAAAAAAGUCUGAGCCUGAGUGGGGAUAAGGAUUUUCUUGGAGAAGAAAUACAUUAGGUCUAAUGGGGAGAGAUUUCCGCCUUUGGACAGUUGGUCACCUGCUGGCCAAGGGGUAAGAUUUAAUGAUUUGAAACCUCUUUUGUGAGAAGCAGGACACAUAUACCUCCAUUUUGAUGUAUUUUUUAUGGGUGUGGAUUGAGAUUUGUGAGCGUGGGAGCGAUAUAUUCGAGCGAGGUUCUGUCGAUCAGAGACGAGGUCUGCACUCUAGCUGAUGACAUCAUCACUCUAAACUCUCCAAUACACACCCAUUAUAAAGCUUGAAAUUUGCUGAAAACCACAAGUUGCUUAAAGCUAAAUUGUGGAAAAACUGUAAGAGAUAUAAAAAAACUGAGUACAACUAUAAUAGUCGACAAGUGAAUGAACAUUUUAAAGCAAAAAUGAGGUCUCUAGGUGAAAGUACGCUGAAGUUAUAAGGCUGAGAAGGUGGAGGAGUAAAAGGUAGAAUUUGAAGAUUUCCCCAUUCAUUUCAAUGGGAAAAUUUUUGCACAAAAAGUCAAAAAUAUCAAAAAGUAUAAAGGGUAGAAAGAAAAAAUACACGCAAUAAUGUCCUGAAGGAGUGGAAUAGUUUAAAGUUUGAAUGGUUGAAAUCGGACAAAGUUUGAAGGAGGAGAAGCGGUCCAAAAAAGGGACGGAAGAAUAAUAAUAAGUUUAAUAAAGAAACAGGAGAAUAACAAUAAGUGGAAAUGCCUAUCAGCAUUUCCACUUAACUAGAAAAAUUGCAUUUCCUUGCAGAAAAUGCGUGGAAAUGCUGAGUGCUGAAAGCUGAAAAAGCAAUGCUAAACUGCCAGUAAUAAAUGGAGAAGGUAUAAAUGAAAAAACUGUUAAAGGGGUGAAGUGUUAUAAAUAGAAGUUGUAUGAAUGUUUCAACCGUAACAGAACUGAAGAAGAAGAUGAUGAAAAAGAGAUGAGUUGUAUGGAUGUAAAAACACUGGGAGAGGUAAACCAGUAGCUGUAUGAAUAUUCAAAUUGCUAAAGAACUGAUCUUGAACAUUACAGGAAAUAUGGUAAAGAAUUUUAAAGAUGGCUGAAAAGGCCUUCAUGUUGGAAGAAGUAGAAAUGAAUGUAGAUGAGAAAUGAACACAUUACACAAAUAUGUUUAAUUUAAAUAUAUAUGUUUAAGAAAAAUAUUAUUGUCAAUCCUUUAACAUUUUUUGAGCAAUGAAAUGAUUAAUCAUAAAACAUUAAAAAAAAUAAAUAAAAUAAAAAAACAAAAACAUAAACACAUAAAGAAACAGUGUUCCAUAGUGCCUUAAAUCAAAUUAUAAACAAUUUGUUUGUGAACAGGUAUUGGAAGCAGAAAUCUUUACAUGGGUGACCAAUCUGUCUCUUAAGCUUAAGGUUUUAAGAUUGUCGUUGUUGUGAUUGUUGAUGGACAAAGGUAUCACAUUUUCAGUUGUUUCUAAAAUUGUUUAGCCCAAUCAUUACAGGCUCUUCACACAGUUGUUAGACUGAGGCUAACACCCCAUUAUUUACUGGAUUCAAACUCCAGCAGCCCUGUACCCACAUUCACCUCUUUUCUUGUGUUUUCGGAUUACUAAGCCUUAACAAAAGUUGGCUCAUAAAAUUUGUCAUGGCCCAUUAAGCCAAGUCCUGUGUUGUGGGCUUUAAAAACAGACCUUGAAAUUUGAUUUCAAAGUCUGAUACAGGACUGUUAUGUGUGUUUUUAAGGGUUUAGAUUAGCCUAAGACUAAGUUUGCAUAUCUGAAAAACCUUUAUACCUAUACAUAAAAAAAAUAUAUGAAAAUGGUGACUUGAGAGUUAUAAAAAAAAUAGUUACUACAAUCGGUCAGCAGUAUAACAACAUAAAUGUGAAUCACAAAAAGUAUAAAAUGGAACAUGAGGAAUAGUAUGCAAAAAUAAGUCAGCAGUUUACUGUACAGUGUAGUACAGAAGUAUUUUACAGAAGUUAAAAUUAAAAUAAAAAAAAAAGAUUAAUUUGAAUUAAAAUUUAAUAUAAUGUGAAGGGUAAGGUAAAGAAUGCAAAUGCAAAUAAUGCAAAGUUAGGCUUGUGGAAAUAUACAGGCAAAGUAAGGUGUAAGGCUUAUGAAUUAAAUAUGGCAUUAUAGUAUUUUUUAAAGCUAACUGCAGUGAAAUGUGGGCUCUCGUAGAAAAAAAGAAAAUUAUAGAAUAAUAAAUAAUUAUAAUAAUAAAUAAAAUUAAAUGAUAUGAAACUGAAACUUUAAGCAAAAUCUAAAAUGAUCAGAUUAAAAAGUAGAUUUGAGAACUUGAAAUAAAUUGAUGUAAUGUAUUGGUCCACCUUAGCACCAAAAGGCUUUUCACAGUAGACCAAGGCUAUUACUGUCAUCAGCUCAUUGUCAUCUGCUCAUUUGUUUGCAAAAAUAACUCAGCAGUUUACUGUACAGUGUGGUACAGAAGUAUUUUACAGAAAUUAAAAUAUAUAUUUUUUUAAUUAAAUCUAAAUUAAAAAUUUAAAAUAAUGUGGAGGGUAAGGAAAAGAAUGCAAAUGCAAAAGAUGCAGUCCUCCAGGCUUGCGGAAAUAUACAAGCAAAGUAAGGUGAAAGGUUAAAAAAAUUAAAUAUGGCACUGAAGUAUUUUUUAUAGCAUGUAUUGGUCCACCUUACCACCCAAAAGGCUUUUCACAGUAGUUAGACCAAGGCUAAUACUGUCAUCAGCUCAUUGCAGUGGACUGACAAUCUGGUCAGCAUUUUAGAUCCCAGUGUUUUCUUAUCCAAACAUUCACACUACUCUGUCUUACUGAAAUGCUGGGUUGGGAACUUUGUUCCUCUAUGAAAUCCCUUCACACAGUUUGUUUAACCAAGCCCUGUGUUUGAUGAUUGUGACGACAACCUUCAGCAGGGAUUGUUUCACACUGUAAUGCUGGGAUCACUGCUGUCCAAAACAUUAGCCCAAGACUAAGCACACGUGAAAAACCUGCAGUGUACCUACCAGCUGAAACCCAAAGUACAUCAUUUAUUUCUAAAAACACAUCUUCUCUUGUAGGUAAAUUUGAGGGCUAUGGUGAGCAUAUUAAAACGAGAAAUUCAGCUGCCUGCAACAACUUUUCCGUUCAUCAGUGUUGGUCAUCUUUUGAUAUAAGGACAGAUACACAGUAAAAGGGAAAGAAAAUACUAAAAUAAGAUAGAACAAAUAAAGUCCAAGAAACAGGAAAAUUAAAAUAUUAACAGAUAUCGACAACCGAUCAUUUAAUGUAGAAAACAGGAUUCAAAACAAUAUAAGAGUGAUAGUUGUCCUGUCCUGAAGACAAUCAGUCAGUUCCUCAAGUGAGUACUGUGUUCUGUCUGGGCACUUUUUUUCAAAACCAAAAGCCGAGCCCGGUACAGUUCAGAGUGAAGGUUUUGAGUGAGGUAAUGUUUUGACCUUUGACCUGUGGUUGUAGAAUCACUGUGUGCAGUUAUCAGUGUUCGAGUUGACAGCAUCACUGGAGUCAGAGGCGGGAGGAGGAGAGGUCUGAAAAAAACAAACAAAAUCCCCUUCACUUUAACUCUGUAAUCAAUACAAUUGAUUGUAGGAUCACCAUUAGUUAGCUGCACUUGCUACACCGUGGAUGAACAGACAGUGACUUGAAGUAGGAGAAUGUAGCUGGUUCAAAACAGGAAAUAAACAGAAACAUUUGUGUUGAUAAUCUGUGAAACUAAACAUGUUGAAUAAAUACACACAUCAUUACAAUGAAUACCUUAAGCACUGCAGCAGAGCAACUUCACCAGGUCUGCAGCAGCAAAGCUUCCUCACACAGAGAGGGUCAAGGCUCAGGGUGGCUGCAUGAUGUCCACCUUUGGUGUGUUCAGCUGUCUGAGUGUCUAAGCUGUUCUUCCUCUCUUAACUGGCUUUAAGAAGACCUGGGAGAAAACACUGCAGUUAAAGACGAUGGUAUCAGCAGAGCUGUACAAUAGCAUCACAAGCAUUAAUACAGCAGCUAAGAUAACUAAGAAAAAAUAAAUGAACACAAGUUCACCAAGACAUUACCUCAGACUUUCUUGAAGAGGGGUUUAUUUCUUGGAGGUUCAGCAGGAACGAGCCCAGUGAGUGACAGGUACUACAGCAUCAGUUCUGCUUCAGCCUGAUGUCUGGUGGUCCUUGAGAGCUGCUUCAGGACAUCUGGGGCACAAGCAGGUAAAACACAUGUUUGUGUAGUCCAUGAGAGAAGGGUCCCGGUGGGUGCUGCAGUCUGUCCAGCACAGCGAUGAUGGUUGUUGAGAGCAGCAGGAGGAUGGUGUGGAGGAUGUCAUCUCUUCUUCACCUCUGACCAAAGACUGGGUUAAACAGCAGGUAGACUGUGUCUUUGAGUGGUCCAAAGUGAUGUGUUUACUUCUGGUUGACGGUUUGAUAAUUUUUUUCUGCUCAUAAGUGAGCUAAUCAGGACAGCACUAAUGGUCAGGACAAAGAUGGCAGAGACAACUGAAGAAGAAAAAAAAAAAAUACCCAAACAAAAGGAAACUUAGCUUUACUCUACUGCAUCCACAGGUGAUGUGUUUACUUUUGGUUGACAGUUUGAUAAUUUUUUUCAGUUUACAGUGAGCUAGUCAGGAUAGUACUAAUGGGGGUCAGGUUAAAGAUGACGGGGACAACUGAAAAAAAAAAAUAAUAGUAAUAAUAAAAAAUUUAAAAUAAAAACCUACCCAAAGAAAAGGAAACUUAGAAUUGCUCUAGUGUACUUACAGCCACCCAUGCUAAGAGAGUGGUGUAAAGUUGGGUGGAGAAAAGGGGGGUUUCAGCUGGUAGGUAACAGAACAUCAGAAAGUGUGUGUUCAUUAGGGAACACACACUUUCUGAUGGAGGUUUUUAAUUUUAGCUGCUGUAUACAGUAUUGUACACAGCAGCUGAGAGUUUUGGCCUGUGCAUUUAUCAAUCCGCACCCACCCUCCCUAUGUCCAGUCAAGUCAAGUUAAAUGGAUUAACUUGACUUGACUGGACUUGAUAAAUGCACAGGCCAAAAAUUGUAAUUUAUAACAUUUGAAUAGUUGGAAAAUUUUACAACCUGAAAAAUAUUUUCUUUCAAAAAAUUCUGAGCCAUAAAAAUAUUUUUUGCACUAGUAAAAUUUACAAUGACCAAACACAUUUCAAUCUGUACUGAAAAUAUGAGCAUAACAUUAGCCACAGCUUCUGUAGUUUGUCUUUUCCUUAAUAGUAGUUUCCUCUAUGACCUGUUGGAUGAAAUGACACAGUAAGUGGCGUUGUGGUAACUGUAGUAUGUCUGCACAAUACCUGAGGAGAGACAUAGCUGAGGUCGUGAACAGAAAAUCAGGUCCAGCAGUGUGUUCUUGUCCGUUGUAGCAGCAGUGAUCAGUUGACCAUAUCCCUUGGACUGAAAGAAAUCCAAAAUUGGCUUACUUGCAUUAGAAAAGAGAUUCUCAUUGAAAUCGCCACAGACAAUGAUAGGAUGACAGUCCAUGAUCUCAAGUGAGUCCAGAAGGCUUCCCAGAUUGGACAGGAAUGAUGACACACUGUAGUCUGGAGGUCUGUACACAGCUGCAAUCAGAGCACUUACAGGAGAUUCAACCUUCAAAGCCACAAAUUCGAGGUCAGUCACAUUAUUCAGGUACUGUUUCUCCACAACCUGCAAAUGGUUUUUCACAUAAACAGCGACUCCACCACCUCCUUUACUGGCCAUCUGUGGAAAGUUAGUGUAGGACAAAUGUCUGUUGCGUUUGAACAUGGUGUAGCCCUCAAACUGGAGACUGUCUGCCACAAAGGAGCCCUGUAGGUGAGUUUCUGUCAGACACAAAACAUCUGCAAGACACAGUUCAUGAUGGCUUUUGAUGUCAUUCACAUGAGCAGGUAAUCCUUCGGUGUUGUGAUGAAUGAUGCUCACAGUGUCCUGUCUGCUGAGAGAAUGCUGGAUCUGGAGAAAAGGCAUGAGGUGAUCAAAGUUAGCUUGCGUCAUGGUCUCCAAAGAUACAGUGACUGCAGGGUUAGCAUGGAUUUUACUCUCAUCCAAAUCAAGCAUGUACAGUCCGCUGAGAGAGGUCACUCGACUGAUAGCUACGUAGGCCAUGCCGGGCUCAAAAAUGUGCUUCAGAGAGACAACAGUUGAUUUUCUGGUCAUACCUUGAACCUUGUGUAUCGUGCAUGCAAAGGCAAGUUUCACAGGAAACUGUCUGCGUACCACUCCUUUCUGUUGCAGAGCCUCCUCAGAUCUCUCGAUGUACACAAGAUUGUCUCCUCGAGUACGAUAGCUCCUGCCAGCUGUUUCAUCAUCCAUCCUGAGACCAAGCAUAGUGACAAGAGCAGAACCAUUGUUUUCAGAGCUUAUGAGACGGCCUACUGUAGCAAAUGAUCCGUUCACCAAUCCUUGAGACACAUCAAUGUUUCUGGUAAGCAUGACCCUAGCACCUACUGCAACAUCUAGUGUGUCAGGUAGAUCAUUUCUGCUUCCAUGACAUGGUGCACCUUGUCUUUUCAUGUGUCCAGUGUGUGGGUCCUUUUUAAAGUCAUCUGCAUCAAUGGUGGUGAUAUCAGAAUGGAGCAGAGAUAGUGUAGCAGAGUUGUGUUCUGCGACUUGUUUGUUGGUAGCAAAAAUGUGCAGCACAUCAGAGGGACACAGUUGUGGUUCAGUGACACGCUGUGACAGCAGAGUUCUGUCAGCUUCAGAAAGCUCAUCUGACCUUGUUUUCACACGGAGUCUGUUCAGCAUCUCGGCAAAAGUUUUGUCAUCCUUCUGUCGCAUGAUCUCAUCCAAAGUGAUCACCUGGAAGUUGUCUCUCCAGAGGUCAAGCUCACUUGGAUCAUAGACACACAGUGGUUUGGACUGUCGCACAGGCGGUAGCUGGUAAAAGUCUCCCACAGCAAUGACUGACAUUCCUCCAAAGGGUUUGUGGCUGCCUUUAAUCUGUUUCAGUCUCACAUCAACAUAGGCAAAAAGUGGCUUCGACACCAUGGAGAUUUCAUCAAUGAUGAUGAUUUCAGCGUUUAAAAGCUCACACCUGAUUUCAUCAAGUUGGUUCCCAAGACCUUGAAAAGGAGGUUUCAAACUUCUGGGCAGCUUGAGAAGAGAGUGCAGUGUUGUUCCAGAGAUGUUAAAGGCUGCAGUUCCGGUGAAAGCAGUCAACAGCACAGUCGGGUUUGAGAUGUCAGCUUCCUCAGCACGUGUAGGUAGUGUUCUCAGAAUCUUUGAUGCUUCUGAAUGAAUGCAUUUAAUGAGAUGUGACUUUCCAGUGCCAGCACCACCAUUGAUGUAGUAGAAAAACUGCUCUGGUUGUCGUCCACAGACUCGUUUUAUGCACCAGUCUCUCACUGCAUAGAACACACAUGCCUGUUUCUGGUUCAGACUCUGAUACAUUUGUCGUAACCGUGUGGGAUCGAUUGUAGGGGGCUCUCUCAUGACUCUGGCCUCUGUAGCAGCAUUUGCUUGUCUGCUGUAAUCCGGUACAUCCUCUUGGACAUUUUCACACUGUCUGGCAUCCAGUUCAUCGAUACACUCCAACCUCACCAGUUCAGAUUCAGGUGCCAAAUUACACCAUUCAUCGACCACACCUCUGUUCUGUUCAAAGUCCUCGAGAGCAGAGUCAAUUUCCUCACUGUUUUUUUCAUAUCUCUCUCGGUUUCUUUUCACGAUGAGUUUCACACUCAGGGGUCGGUCAGAAUACGGCAGCUGAACCACACCUCUCUCAUAGAAUGACUCAUACGUGGGAAAAUAUGGUCUUUUCAGCUCAUCGUCUGAUCUGUAUGGAAGAUACAGUCUAAGCAAUGUGCCGUAAAACUGCUCAGGGUAUUUCUCUUUGGAUAUGCGGCGAUACCUGAUGACAGCAGCGUUGUCACUUUCUCGUCUCUGUAUAAAGCCUAGUUCAUUCAGCAAAGGUACCACUUUCUUGCCCUUGGUCUGUUGUCCAUACACCAGUCUGCAGGUAGAAGCAAAAUCAGCCAUGCACAUCUCUUCAAACUCUGGUGAUUCAGGUCUGGAUUUGUACUUGUCUGUUAAGGAUGUCAUCCACACAUUCAAGCUGUCUGGUGUUGUGUUGUCAAGGCUUGACACAGGCAGACUCAUUUUCACUGGGUUGUCAUCAGUUGGGACAAAAACCACACUGCGUGAACUCUUUUUCAUGUUCAGUGAAGUCACUCGGGCAACGGCUUCUUGUGCUGAUACUUCUCGCUUUUUGGAAUACGCCUGCAUGACCGCUUUCAUUUCAUCACAUUCAUUGACACAUUCUCUGUCGGAGUUCUGAAUGAGUGUUUGCAGGUACUGGCUCACAGAGUUCUCACUUUUACACAUGUACGUACAUAUGUAAUGGAUCAGACUGUAGUAGCUGAGAAUGAACUGCACGUCAAUAUUUGCAUCCCAAGCUUUGAGCAGGUGAGGGUUGUAGGUGUUUACCCAGCAGUCUUUCGGCUCACGCUUCAGAAUGAUGUUGCUGGACUGACUCAUCACAUUCAUGUGUUUCUCGUACUCAUCAGCGGUUAAGUCACAGACAGACAGGAGCUGUUGAAAACUCAUGGAUUCAGUUUGUGUCUCAUUCAGCAGCUGAUUCAGUGGUGCAAGUUUCUCUUUGGCUGUCUUAAGUCUCUCUGACUCCUCAUCAUCACCCACAGGUCUUGUUAUCAUUGUCUGUCUGGAGGGUGGUUUUGGGAAUCCAAAUCGGCAUCCAGAACUUGCACUUUUGAAACAUGUCUUUGAGUGGUUCUUACUGUGUAUUUGCACUUCUUUGACCUUUCUGUACAGUUCAGGCUGUUUAUUUGGGUCAGGGAGCUGAGCAGAGAUGUGUUUGGACACAAAGUCACACACAGUUUUGUCAGAGUCUCUCUCAAACACAGGUGCACCUUCUACCCACAAAAGACCAUGUAUAUGAGGACUUCCUCUGUGUUGAAACUCGAGACGCCAAAAGAAGUCAAAAACUUUGCCCAGGGGUUGUGCAGGAGACAUGAUCAGAUCUCUGUACAGUGCUUCAACACGCUUAUCAAACAUGCGCAUCGUUGUCACAGGAUUGCUUCUCAGAAUGUCACACUUUGUGGACCAGUCGAGCUCUUCAAAAUUCACUUCCUCACCUUGUUGUGAUUUUAUUGCAAUAAUCACCUCAGGCCAACGCAUUUCUGCUGCAGAAAAUGUGACAAAGAAAGUAGGACUGCCCAACUGUCUGAUCAUAGCAAACAGAUCUUUUGUAGUUUUGUCCCAGUAGGCUGGUGUUCCUCUGAGCGGCUGCAUAAAUCUGAUAGCAUCUCUGUUUCUCACCAGUCUCUCCACUUCGUAUUUGUCUCUCAACAUUCUGGAUGUUAUUUUACGUCCGUCUCUGGUCAAAGGUUUGCCUUUGCGUAACUGUAUGGACAUGCUGGAGGUAGCCAAGUGUAUUUCGGUCACAAACUGUGCAAAGAACAGGUAGUUGGUAUCUCUGGCAAAGCGAUCAUCAACACCAAAGAGCCUUGCUUUAAAAUAACUACUGGGUGAUAAUUUCAUGGGUCUGUUUUCAUCCAGUGUAUUCUCACCAGUGGGAAACUGAACAGGAAACGCCAUGGCCUCUAGUUUGGGUGUUUUGAAAAAACUGACUGGAUUGUUUCUCUCUGCUGGAGCUACUGAGUAUGUAGAGUCACUGAAACACAAUAUCUCCUCAGAAACAUCACGUGGCUGAAGGCACGACUCCAAAACAACACCACCAUUAUGCACGUCUGAAUCCUGUUGUUGUGUCUGAUCAUCAUUGUCCUGGGUCUGACUUUUAUCACACAGCUCUGUGUUGUCGUCCUCAGUUUCAGCAUUAGUUUCAGCCUCAUACAUGGCAGCAGCCUCAAUUCUAUCAAUCUCCAUCAAAUCCUCAUCAUCAUAGUCAUCAUCAUUCAUUGUGUUAUCAUCAUCAUCCUCAUCCUCAUCCUCAUCCUCAUCACCAUCAUCAGGAAGUGUGGGGUCACAUAACUCCUCCUCAUCUCUAAUAGUGAUGUCUUCAUAUUGGGGGUGUAUCUCUUUCAGUGUAUGCAGGGCCUGUACUAGCUUGGACCAGGUAACAGUCUGAAACAGAUGGUGACCUCUGUAACUCAAGCGUCUCUUCAGUUUUACUCUCAUCACCUGAGACUCAUUUCUCAAUCUGGGUAGAGCCUGAAUUGUUUCCUGGACUUCAGAGGGAACACAUACAACAUUACCAUGUAUAGCUCGCUGUCUGCCUUUGGGAAGAGGAAUGAUUUUGGCAAAUGUUAUGCACUUUGCUAUCAGAUGUCUCUCCAGUAUGUUGAGGCCACACAGUUCAGGUGGUAUGUCAGCAAGCUCCAAGUUGUUUGCUAUGGCAAGUUUGGGCAUGGCUCCAUUUUUCAGAUGGUCAUGGCAGGUGUGACAAAUCCACUCAGUCUUUCUCUCAUCAGGGACAGUGCAGUGAUUUCUGCAGUCAUCGUUACAAUCAUGGACGUACUGACCUUUGAGACAAGCUGAAACCAUGAUUGGAUUUUUCACAUAGUUGGACCUCUUGCACUUUUGCACCUGGUUUGGAAAUGAGGCUUUGUGGCAAACUGUGCAAACAUGGGUGGGACCAGCUUUAAUGUGUGAUCGGAAAUCAUUUAUGGCACUUUCAAUAAGUGGGUUUUCACUCUCUCUGUCAGUCUCACAUGUUUGUUUACUUAUCCGUUUGUAUUUCUUUGAUAUUUUCAAUGCACACCUCAUUUUAUGCAUAGUUCUGUAUGCAAGAUUUGUCUUGUACCUGUCUCGCAUCAUUUGUCUCAUCAGCUGUCUGUGUCGGUUACGGAAUAUUUCAUCAUUUGCAUAUCGAUGAUUGAUAUAUGAUCGCUGUCUUUGCCGGAAAUUAACAUCCUCAGAGUAUUUUUUCCUGAUAUAUUCUUUUUGUCUGCCUUUGAAAUCAACAUUUUCUCUGUAUUUUUUCGUGAAAUAUUCUUUUCGUCUGCCUCUAAAAUCAAUAUUUUCUCCAUAUUUUUUCCUGAAAUAUAACUUUUGUCUGCCUUUAAAAUCAACAUUUUCCCUGUAUUUUCGUGUGAUAUAUUCUUUUUGUUUCAGUCUGUAGUCUGUGCUUUCUCUAUAUUUAGAUGUGAUCUUUUGUCUUUUCUUUGUCUGUAUCUCAGGAUUUACAGAAUAUUUGUUACUUGAAUAAGACUUUUUCUUUGCUUUAUAUGUUUCAUUCUUAGCAUACUUUUCUCUCUCUCUCCUUUUUUGAUUCUCUUUCUUUUGAGAUGUCUUUCCAGAUCUCAUUAGUCUCCUCUUAAAUUUCUUUUUUUGCUGUUUGUUCAAUUUUGACAGUUUACUAGAAAUGUCAUGGAGGACAUUAUCACUGGUGACAGGGAUAGUUAUAAAUGGUUGUGUCAAAUUUGAUUGUGUCUCCUGAGUUUCCUCUUUGACAGAAUUCAUGCUGAUUUGACCUGGUUGAUGAGCUUGUGUUUCCAUCAAAGUUGAGACUUUCUGUGAUGUGUCAUCACUUACAGUAGUGUUCAUCUCCAGAACGAGAGAUUCAGGACCAGUUAAUGUGACAGAACACUGGCUGAAGUCGAUCAGUGGUUCUGGUUCAGUUUCCAUGUCGCAUUCAGUGUUUUCAUGGACAUCAGUGUUCAUCUGUGGAGCACUUGUGUCAUCAUUUAUCACAGUGGUUGUUACAGAGGGACUUGUGGACGGACUUUCUGUGGCUGGGAUAGCAUCACUUGGGUUCACAUCACCGAACACAACUGGCUUGAGCUCAUAGGUACAGGACGCUGCUGUGCCCAAUAUGUGGUGAUACCUGAUGAGCCUGGCAAUCAUGUCACUAAGGCGUGUGAAUGUUACCAUGACAGCGGUACCAGGAGUAGGUGUGGCUUUAAGCAGAGGCAAACCGUUAGCUGUCCUAGCAUGUGGGUCAAAGAAACCGUACCUGCCAUCUCUGGUUCUGAAAACUGCAAUGCACAGUGAAGUCAUUAGCAGCAAAGCAUACUGCACAUCUGAUAAUAAGCAGCUCAGUCCUGAAACGAGGUCCAGAAAGGUAUCAACAGCACCGGGAUCCGGAUCUCCAAACGUACCGUAUCUAGACAGCUGUGACUUGUCAAAAAUCUGCGUGUGUCUGCGUGCAGGAACCUCUUUAGGGAGCUCAUCGGUUGUCAGAUGGAUGUGAUCACGAACAGUUUUCCUGACUUCUCUGUACAUCACAUCACCUUUAUCCAAAACACGGUCCAGAUCUGCUCUGGUGAUGUGUUCUCUCUCAUACAGGAAUGCUAGAAAUGUCAGUGAAUUACAAGUGCACUGCUGGUUCCUGGAUUGGCCGUAUUUCAGAGAUGCUUGGCUGCGUGACGCACAGACGUUUUGUUCACCUGACUGAUUAACAGCGUUCUCAUUUCUUACCUGAGAAGAGCCUGAUACAGACUGAUAAUUACUGUGGUUUCCCUUCUUAACAGUGUCUGCACGUGAUACCUGGGUUGAGCAUGGCUUUUCAGUUUGGGCUAUGUAGUUCACCUGAUGAGAGUUAGAAGGACCUGCUGCAGGUGACUCACUUACACGUCUCCUCUUAAGCACGUCUGCAUAAGAUACCUGUGGUUGACAUGAUGCAUUUUCACCUCCCUGUUUCACAGCAUCAGACACUUCAGACCUCUUUACCUCUCCACUGCUCUGAGGAAUACCAUCUGCUGGUCCAGUACUCACAAAGUCAAUGUCAUGAAACCUCUGCCAGCGCUGGCUUGCAACCUGUGACCUCUUACUCUUCCUUGGCAUUGUAACUGUUCUUUCACAAAAAUGUGUUUAUGCAACAAUUAAAAGUUACUGAUAAGCACCAGUAUAGACAAAAAUGCUUUAUUUCUUCAAGAGGACGUUAUUUACAGCUCUUAUAGUCUCCAAAAAAUCUAAUUUAUAACUGUGUGUAUACCAACAAUAGUUUAUCAAAUGUUUUCUAAGGAAAUCCUAGGCAAGACUAUGUAAAUGUUUGAAGAAAAAACACAAAUCAACAAUUUUUUAAUCUUAGAACUUUGUGUUUGAAAUACUAUGCAACUCAAAUAUUCUAUAUAAAACGUGUUUUUAUGUUCUUUCAAAGUCAGGUAUGCAGAUGUGGUGUAGCUGACGACACGUCUUCUGGCGAAACUCUGGAUUCACAGACAGGAGAGGAGGACCUAGAACAACAAUCAGACUUGUGCAAAAUUAGGGAUUUUUCAAAAUAGCGGUUGUAUUAAAUGUACUUCCGUUUCAAAAGUUUUGACUCAAAGAAAGGUUGCUUGUUUCAAAAGGUUUCUCAAAAUAGGUUCUCAAAAUAGGUUCUCAAAUGUUCUGCAAAGUUCUGAAAAGUUCUGCAAAGUUCUGAAAAGUUCUGCAAAGUUCUGAAAAGUUCUGCAAAGUUCUGAAAUGUUCUGAAAUGUUCUGAAAAGUUCUGCAAAGUUCUGAAAAGUUCUGCAAUGAGUCAGAGUGGGAUAGAAGGGGGAUAGAAAGACAGAGUUGCUUUUCAAUCAGACAGAGUGGUAGAGGAGACAGGAAAGACAGAGCGUCCAAAACUUAGCCAGAGGGAUAGAAGAAAGGGGGACACAAGACAGAGUGCUUUUCAAUCAGACAGAGUGGUAGAGGAGACAGGAAAGACAGAGCGAUCAAAAUGAUAGGGGAGAGUGGGGAGACUGGACAGGAUACCUGUAAGACAAAAUGGAAACAAACAUUAAUCCCUUUUUAUUAAAGAAAUAAAAUAAAAUAAACCAACAUCCACCCAAAGCUAAUGGCAUCAUAAUGCACUUUUACUCAACCCAUCAAGUGGCUGUCCUCAAUUAUACAUCUUUCAAAAGUCAAGUUGAGUCAAAAGCUGGAAGUGACCAUUGUCUUGUUCGAUAACCCUUCAAACAAAUAAGGACUAAAAAUCCAAAGUGUUCAUUAUAGUUGAUCAAAAAUUAAUUUAAGAUACGAAGAACUUUAUUUAUCCCCUAAGGGAAAUUCAAUUGUCUAUAGUCUCAUUUGUCACGUCUGUAUAAGUCAUCUACUAUUUAAAUUGUAGAGUCUCAUGGCUGUGGGUACAAAAGAUCUUUUGAAUCUUUUUUCCCUGCAGCGAAGACAGAGGAGCCGUCCACCACCAUAGGCCUUUCGGUCCACCAAGGUGUUGUGAAGUGGGUGAGCCAUGUUCUCUAGAAUAGCCUCCACCUUCCUCACAGUACAUCUCUCCACCACAUCCUCCAGUGAGUCAAACUUGAAUCCAACCACAGAGCCACCUUUUUAAAUUUAGGACCUCAAAGUAUUUUACAAAAAGUUCUAUUAUCCCUGUGUAUUUUAGACUCUUUAAGUACUUUAAGUUCCCUUUAUAAUGUUCAUAACCAUGUCCUGGUAAGCAAAAGUAACAAUGGAUUACUCUGCUGAUAAAAUAUUAUGUAUUUUGGAGAAGGUAAUUUCCUUUACUGUGUUUUAAGUAUUCCAACAAUGUAAAAAGUAGUAAUGAGGCCAAGCACCUCCAUGAGCUGUAAACAGAAGCAUGCAAGGUACCUUAGAAGGAUAUACACAUAUCUAAACAUAGGAUUAAAUAAAUAAUAAAAUAAAUCAAUGGCUGCAUAAAUAAUGAUUGUCUAUUCCAUAUUAAAGAACAUUAAAUUUGCUUGUUUUUUUAAAUAUGAGAGAUGUACAAAGGAGGGAAUCACAUUCAAUUAGUAAUUAUUUGGAUUUUCAUCGUUAAAAAAUUCCAACUCCACAAUCUAAUAGUAAUAAAUUGCUUUCCAGGGAUUGGAAAUGAAAUGCAAAUAAGUGUACUGCAUAUUACAUUCAAGCUGUUCAUUUCCAACUGUGAGUAUUACAUAAUCAAAGGAAACAAAUUGUUAAGUUAGGACAUGAUGAGGGGUCCAUAAUGUGUUGAAUAAUGGCACACUGUCUUAUUCAUGAAAGUGUCAUUCCUGUGUGAACUUACGUCGAGUCGCCACAAAGCGGUCUGCACUUGGAGACAGGACAGAGUUGGCAAAAAGGAAAAUGGAAAAAUAGAGACAAGAGAUUUUUAGUUUAAUUGUAGAAAACCAGCACAUCUCACUGCAUUUCAGUUUCAACUGUAAUCAGCCGGCAAAAUUGAUUAAGUGUUAUUUAAAAUUGUUUGUGUUACAAUGGAAAUGUGUUGCAGUUUGUCAAAUAAGGACAUAAUGUCAGGUUUUUACAUGAUAUGUUUAAAAAUGUAACAGUGGAAACAUUUUUAAAUUACUUUAUUUGUGAACUUACAGCUGAGUCGCCAACAGUGAAUAGGGCCAGCAGUAGAGAUAGCAUCGAGUUCAGGAGAGAAAAGACAGGGACAAAAAAUAAAUAAAUUUAGUUGCAAAGAAAUCAGCAUCUUAUAGUUUACUGCAAUCACAACUUUUCACUGUGGAUCCUUAGUUUUCUCAUUUCUUAUCAAAGUCUACAAUUUGUGGCACUUGAUUAGUAAAAGGAUGUUACUGCAGCUCCCUUGGCCUGUAAAAAAUGUUUGUUAAAAUGGAGAGAAAAUGCACAAACACAUUGAAGGACCUCUUCACUUUUUGCUUUCUUAUGCAAGUUAUUGAGGUGAAAUACAAAACAGUGAAAUAUAAUUAUAAACUGCAGAGCAAAAAUGUAACAUUUAAGUGAUUGCCCAAUAAGUAUAUAUAUAUAUAUAUAUAUAUAUAUAUAUAUAUAUAUAUAUAUAUAUAUAAAUUAAAGCGUGCAUUUCACUUGCUGAGGACAAAACUAAAGAGAAAAUGCACCAAGAACAAGCAAGAACUGAAGACAGUUGCAGUAGAGACCUGGCAGAGCAACACUAGGGGUGAAACCCAGCGUCUGGUGUAUCUAUCUGUCCUAGACAGCAAAGGAUUUGCAACCAUAUAUUGCACAGUGAAAGUUUGAUGUAUGAUUUUUGAUUUGUCCCAAUACUUUUGGUCUCUUAAAAAGUGAGAGGCACAUAUACAAACUGUUUUAAUUCCUACACCUUUCACCUAAUGUGGAUGUAAAUAACCAUAUAUUAAAGCUGAAUGUCUGCAGUCAAAGCACAUCUUGUUUAUUUCAUUUAAAGUCAACUGUGGUGGUGUUUACAGCCAGAGAGAUGAGUAUUAUGCUGAUGUCCCAAUAUUUUUGGACCCGACUGUAAGCAUGAACUUACACUUCAGAGUUGGUAGGGAUUUUCGCCCAGGUCAGAGGACAAGUUGAGGCAGGAGGAGGGGGAGAGAGAGGGAAAGAGAUUUUUAAUACACUAAAAAAAACUUCAUUCAAAAUUUAUCUGAAUGAUUUUCUCACUUAAUUAUUGUCACAAUCAAGAUUCAGACUUUCGCCAGCAAUUUUUUAAAUAAAUUAAUUUAGUAGUGUAGUAGCACACUAUUGUCUUCUAGGAAAAAACUGUAUCCCAUCUAUGAUUUUCAUAUAGGAUAUACAACAGUGUUACAGAUAAAUCAACAGUUCAAAUCAAUUUAAAGUCAGUAUUUGAAAAAUGCAUCAUAUGUACAUUAAUCCAGUUAUUCUUAUUUUGUUUGUUGUCAGUCCUGGUCAAAACACUUAUACUUACCAACAAAUGCACUGGAGCGGAUGUAUCUUCUGUUUGUUUGAGACAAGAAGCAAUACAUUAGUGUUUUCUGACAGAUAGCACAUUAAAAACAAUAGGCCUAUAAAGAAAACUAACAUUAUUACAGUAGUUGGGCUAAUUGAAAACUAAACAGCUCAAACUGAUCACCUGGCUCUUAGCUGCAGCUGAAAAUGUCACACAUAAUACAUACUGUAUUAAAGUACUUAUACCUCAGAUAAAGAAUCUUUGCUGUGGUGUUAGCACAUCACCAAUAUCCAAAUUAACAGCUUGCUAUCAAAAGUAAAUUAGGUACAGUAAAAGGAGAAGUUCAGUAGCAGCCAGCAAGACAGAGACAGACCAGGAGCAGGUUCACCAACUUCAAGGCAGCUUACUCUCCAUCCAUUAACUCAAUAUUAAGAUAAGAACUUUAUAGAUCCCUAAAGAGAAAUUCAACUGGAAUAUACUUAUUAAUUGGAACUUGGUAUUGUUAAACAUUAAAUACUGAAUGAAUUUUAUGUUUUGCAAUGUAAAUAUCUCUAUCAUCCCCAUCAUGAAUAAAACCUUCAAUAAUAGAGGACCAUCUAGGUCCAUUCUGACACAUAAAAAAAGGAAAACCACUCACAUUUGUGCUAUACCUGGAUGCUUGCUAAAUGCAGCCUAUAUUUUAAUACAUCUACAAUGGCUGAAAAAAGUGACCAGGAGCUAAACAGCUGACGUCUCCAGACCAGUUCCCCAGCAAUGACUCAGUCAUAGUAAUGAACUGAACCAGUAGCAAUGGCGCUAGCGUCAUUAGUUAGCUAGUUAGUCAGUUAAUACUUGAAAUUAUGAGUAUUCUUGUCAGUCCCAUUGUCAGUAAACUCCACAGCCUGUACAUCAUUUGGCAUGCUUUAUAGUACCGCAGCGGCUUAUGUAUUCACUUUAUUUUGUGCUCAGCUGGUUAAUGAUUCAGCCUCACAGCUGAAGGUAUGUUAGCUUUAACGUUAGCCCGACGCUAGCGGCGCUAGCUCGACGCUAGCGGCGCUAGCUCGACGCUAGCGCCGCUAAUUCGACGCUAACAGCGUUAGCGUACGCUUUUUCAACUCAUUAUCUCGACCACUUCAAUCAUGAAUGAAAUCUUCAUUGAUUAUAACUGAAACCAGUGCCAUUUGAAACGUUAAAUCACCGUUUGUCGUGUUCAGAAGUUAGAGAGACUGUGCUCUGACUCACCUUCGUUGAUGUCGGAGAAGGAUAGCGCGAGCCACCAGUGGGUCACGGUAUUAAUGUUUGAGGCGUUCAGGGACACUCGGAAAUGUCAGACUUCACACGACGGAAAGGCAGUGGUUCAAUCAAUUCAUUUUAAUUGUUUUCUAGUACUAAUAGUAGCAAGACUAGUUGAAGUAGAAGUGAUAUAAGUAGUAGUUGUAGAAGUGGAAGUGGGAUUUUGUUUGAAGAAUUGAAAUAUGCAUGAAUAGUAAAAAUGAUUUAAAGUGGGGAAAAUAUAACUAAUAAAAAAUCCUAAAGUAUUAGAAAGGUUUGAAGAAUCAGAGGUUUGAAUAAGAAUGAGUUUCAAUUUGUUAGAAGAAUUGAAUAAUGCAUAAAUAAUGAGGAUGUUUUUAAAUGAAGGACAAUUUAAAUGAAUAGAAAUCCUCUGUAGACUCCAUAAUGUCCCCAAUGAGCUGAAUUUUUGAAGCCCUAAAUGUCUCUGUAUCUCAAAGUUUGCGAGAGAAGAUAGGUGAUGAAGCAGACACAUGGUCAAAGUGUGUUCAGGUCUCAUAGACAGAGAGAGACUCAUGCAUGCACAUAUUUACUGUGUGUACAUGAAGGUCUCAUAGAGAGAAAGAGGCUGACGCACACACACUGUGUGUGUGUGUGUGUGUCGUUAAUGAUUGCAUCCUAAACAGCUGUGAGAUCAAAGGCAUUAACUGACCUGCUGUUUGAAUUGAGAAGCUGCUGAACUGCAGUGAAUAUAGGGCUCUGAACUUCUUCACAUAGCACGAUUUCCUUAAAUCCCAGAAUGAAAAUAAGAACAUCGUACGAAUCCUCCGCCCUUCAUGAACACAAUGAUGUGUUUUUCAUGUCUGUACUCCGAAAAAUGUGGCCACAACAGCGAGUUAAAAAAGUCUGAGCCUGAGUGGCGAUAAGGAUUUUCUUGGAGAAAAAAUACAUGAUGGUCAAUGGGGAGAGAUUUCCGCCUAUUUGGACAGUUGGUCACCUGCUGGCCAAGGGGUACGAUUUAAUGAUUUGAAACCUAUUUUGUGAGAAGCAGGACACAUAUACCUCCAUUUUGAUGUAUUAUUUAUGGCUCUGGAGUGAGAUUUGUGGGCGUGGGAGCGAUAUAUUCGAGCGAGGUUCUGUCGAUCAGAGACGAGGUCUGCACUCUAGCUGAUGACAUCAUCACUCUAAACUCUCCAAUACACACCCAUUAUAAAGCUUGAAAUUUGCUGAAAACCACAAUUUGCUUAAAGCUAAAUUUUGGAAAAACUGUAAAAGAUAGCACAAAAAGGUUAAUACAACAUCAAUAGUCGACAAGACAAUGAACAUUUUAAAGCAAAAAUGAGGUCUCUAGGUGAAAGUAUGCUGAAGUUAUAAGGUCUAGAAGGUGGAAGAAUGAAAGGAAGAAGUUUAAGAUUUCCCCAUUGACUUCAAUGUUAAAAUUUUUGCACAAAAAGUUAAAAAAAUCAAAAAGUAUUAAGGGUAGAAAAGUGAAAAGUAAUAGCCAUAAUGUCCUGAAGGAGUGGAAUAGUUUAAAGUUUGAACGGUUGAAAUCGGACAAAGUUUGAAGGAGGAGAAGCGGUCCAAAAAAGGGACGGAAGAAUAAUAAGUUUAACUAGAAAAAUUGCAUUUCCUUGCAGAAAAUGCGUGGAAAUGCUGAGUGCUGAAAGCUGAAAAAGCAAUGCAAAACUGCCAAUAAAAAAUGGAGGAAGGUAUAAACGGAAAAACUGUAGAAAAGGUGGAGUAGAAGAAGAAGAAAUUGUAUGAAUGGAAGAAUUGUAGUAUAGCUGGAGGUAAAUUAGUUGGAUUAAUGUACAAAUUGUCUGAUAGCCUAAGUGAAAAAUGUAUAUGAUUGAUGUGAAUAAACAGAACUGAUAUGGAUAAUUGAAUUUGAAAAACAAAUGCCUUUAAACAAUGUGUAACAAUGUUCCUAUUAAAUGUACAAAUAGUAAAACAGAUUUUUGCAGUCUGCAGCAUCCAACCAUAGUAACUUGAGAAUGCAGAACAGCACCAUCUAUUGCCCUGCUUCAGUUACUGCCCUACAUCUGAAUGCAGAAAGUAUGAAACAGCUGAAGUUAAAUUAAUUGUAUAAAUGUAGAAAGUAUAGAAAAGAAAAGCAGAAGUAGAAGAAAAAGAAGAAGCUAGUAUGUUAAAAGAGUUAAAGACAAGAACUGUAACAACAAAGUUCAUAUUGGGGCUGUAUUUUCUACUGACAGAGAGACAGUAAUGCACACAUGGAAACAGUGUGUGUGUAUGUGUGUGUGCCCGCGCGCGCACGAGCGGCCAAGUCCGUGCGUGUGCGAUCGAAGCACACAGCCCAUGACAAGUGCAGAAUCUGACAGAGAGAUAGUAAGAGACACAGUAAUUCACUCAUGGAAACAGUGUGUGUGUGUGUGUGUGUGUGUGUGUGUGUGUGUGUGUGUGUGUGCCCGCGCGCGCACGAGCGGCCGAGUCCGUGCGUGUGCAUGUGCGUGUGCGAUCGAAGCACACAGCCCAUGACAAGUGCAGAAUCUCUGGCUCUGAAGGAAUGUACUCACCUCCUGGGCAAGCUGUACAAUUUCAUGACUUCAGACCGAUUUUGUGAGAAGCAGGACGAGUGUACCUCCAUUUUGAUGUGUUUUUUAUGGCUGUGGAGUGAAAAUUGCGGCCGCAGCAGCAAAAUAAUCAUGCUUGGUCUAGUGAAUCCAAAAGGCCCCGCCCGCAUCGAGUGAUGACGUCAGACGCUGUAGCGUGAGUCAGGCUGAAAAAGGCAGACAACUUCAUGUUGCUCCAAGUGAAAUUGUGCAAAAACGGUAGGAAAUAGCAAAAAGGAGUGAAUACAACAUUUGUAGCAGACACGUUGCUGAACAUUUUAAAGCAAAAAUGAGGUCUGUAGGUGAAAGUAUGCAGAAGUUAUAAGGGUGAGAAGGUGUUAUAGCUGUAUCUCCAUUCAUUUGUAAUGGAACAAAUUUUUGCAGAAAAAGUGAAAUAUUGCAAAAAGUAUAAAUGGUAGAAAGGUGAAAAGUAAUAGCCGUAAUGUCCUGAAGGAGUGCAUUAGUAUAAAGUUUGAAUGGUGAAAAUAGCACAAAGUGGUAAGGAGUUGAAAAGGGCCAAAAAAGGUACGGAAGAAUAAUAAUAAUAAUAAAGAAAUAGUAGAAUAACAAUAAGUGGAAAUGCUGUGUCAGCAUUUCCACUUAACUAGAAAAAUUGCAUUUCCUUGCAGAAAAUGCGUGGAAAUGCUGAGUGCUGAAAGCUGAAAAAGCAAUGCUAAACUGCUAAUAAAACAUGGAGAAAGGUAUAAAUGUUAAAGCUGUUGAAGGGGUGAAAAAGAAAUAUAAGUUGGAUAAUAGUUUAAUUGGUUGAAGGACAAAUAGUAUGAAUAUGCUCUAUAAAAGGAAAUUUUAUUCAUGCUGAAAGAGGCUAGAAAAAUGUCUAAAAUUGCACAAAGUUUGAAUGAAGAAGGAAACUGCCUUUAAAGGCAGGAAGGUGAGAAGUGGCAUAAGUUUAAGUUGUAGUACUAGAAGAAGUAUGAUAAGAAGUCAAGUCGUGAUACUAGUAGUCAUGUCAGCAGUAGAAGUAGAUUGAGAAUAAAAGAAGUAUAAGUCAAAGUAGUAAAGAAAGUAGAAAUAGUAGCAAUAGCAGCAGUAGAGAAAGUAGAAAUAGGAGCAAUAGCAGUUGAAGUAGAGGGGAAAGUUCAAGUUUAAUUGACAUAAGUAGUUGUAGUACUAGAGGUAGGAUUUUGUUUGAAGGACGGAUUAAUGCAUAAAUAUUAAAAUUAAUAUAAAACAGGGAAAAUUUUAUUAAUUAAAAAUCCUCAAGUAUCAGAAAGUUUUUUAGUAUUAGAAAGGUUUGAAUCAUUUUGAAUGAGUUUAAAUUAGUUUGAAAAAUUAAAUGAUAAAUCAUCACUGAGUGACUUUAAAAUGUGAAAAAUUUAAAUGAAUAUAAAUCCUAAAUACACCCCAUAAUGUCCUCAAUGAGCUUAAAUUUUAAAGCCCUGAAUGGUUUCUGUAGGUCAAAGGUCAUGUGAGGAGAUAGGGGCUGAAGGUUUUUCAAGCGCUCUGGGAAAGGGUUUUAAGUGUCAUCCCCAGUGCUAUGUGUACUGAGCCUGGCUUCAUGUGUCUCAUAUGGCCAUUAGAAGCAGCUUUCCAGUCAGCUGUGUGUCUCCAGGUGCACAAAUUGGUUGCCAUGGGGACCUUGGAUGAAUAACUAUAGCAGGAGAAAGAAGGCUUGAAGCUAAGGAAACAGGACUCCAAGUAGGCCCUGACGCUCAUCCUCUGUAUAAAUUCAUAAGGAGCUUGUGAGAACACAAGAUUUUGCUGAACACAUUAAUACAAUUUAUUAUCACAAUCCUCAAAACACCCCAUAAUAUCUUCAAUGAGCUGAAUUUUUCAAGCCCAGAAUGGUUUCUGUAGCUCAAAGUUUGUGGGUGGAGAUAGGUGGUGAAGCAGACACAUAUUAUCUGUGUGUACAAGCAGGUGAACUGCAAGGUAGACCUGACAAUGCAACAAGUACAAGAAUGUGUGUGUGUGUGUGUGUGUGUGUGUGUCUCAUUAAUGACUGCAUCCCUAAACAGCUGUGAGAUCAAAGGCAAAUCACUAACCUACUGUUUGAAUGACAAGCAGCUGAACAGCAGAGGAUUUGAAGCCUGUGAACUUCUUCACAUAGCGUGAUUUCCUUAAGUCCCAGAAUGAAAAUAAGAACAUCGUAUGAAUCCUCCGUCCUUCAUGAACACAAUGAUGUGUUUUUCAUGUCUGUACUUCGAAAAAUGAGGCCACAACAGCGAGUUAAAAAAGUCUGAGCCUGAGUGACGAUAAGGAUUUUCUUGGAGAAGAAAUACAUUAGGGCCAAUGGGGAGAUAUUUGCGCCUAUCUGGACAGUUGGUCACCUGCUGGCCAAGGGGUACGAUUUAAUGAUUUGAAACCUCUUUUGUGAGAAGCAGGACACAUAUACCUCCAUUUUGAUGUAUUAUUUGUGUCAGUGGAGUGAGAUUUGUGGGCGUGGGAGCGAUAUAUUCGAGCGAGGUUCUGUCGAUCAGAGACGAGGUCUGCACUCUAGCUCAUGACAUCAUCACUCUAAACUCUCCAAUACACACCCAUUAUAAAGCUUGAAAUUUGCUGAAAACCACAAGUUGCAUAAAGCUAAAUUGUGGAAAAACUGUAAAAGAUAUCAAAAAACUGAGUACAACUAUAAUAGUCGACAAGUGAAUGAACAUUUUAAAGCAAAAAUGAGGUCUCUAGGUGAAAGUAUGCUGAAGUUAUAAGGUCUAGAAGGUGGAAGAAUGAAAGGAAGAAGUUGAAGAUUUCCCCAUUGACUUCAAUGUUAAAAUUUUUGCACAAAAAGUAAAAAAAAACAAAAAGUAUAAAGGGUAGAAAGAAAAAAAAUGGAAGCCAUCAUGUCCUGAAGGAGUGGAAUAGUUUAAAGUUUGAAUGGUUGAAAUCGGACAAAGUUUGAAGGAGGAGAAGCGGUCCAAAAAAUGGCGGAAGAAAAAUAAUAAUAAUAAUAAUAAUAACUAGAAAAAUUGCAUUUCCUUGCAGAAAAUGCGUGGAAAUGCUGAGUGCUGAAAGCUGAAAAAGCAAUGCUAAACUGCUAAUAAAACAUGGAGAAAGGUAUAAAUGUUAAAGCUGUUGAAGGGGUGAAAAAGAAAUAUAAGUUGGAUAAUAGUUUAAUUGGUUGAAGGACAAAUAGUAUGAAUAUGCUCUAUAAAAGGAAAUUUUAUUCAUGCUGAAAGAGGCUAGAAAAAUGUCUAAAAUUGCACAAAGUUUGAAUGAAGAAGGAAACUGCCUUUAAAGGCAGGAAGGUGAGAAGUGGCAUAAGUUUAAGUUGUAGUACUAGAAGAAGUAUGAUAAGAAGUCAAGUCGUGAUACUAGUAGUCAUGUCAGCAGUAGAAGUAGAUUGAGAAUAAAAGAAGUACAAGUCAAAGUAGUAAAGAAAGUAGAAAUAGUAGCAAUAGCAGCAGUAGAGAAAGUAGAAAUAGGAGCAAUAGCAGUUGAAGUAGAGGGGAAAGUUCUAGUUUAAUUGACAUAAGUAGUUGUAGUACUAGAGGUAGGAUUUUGUUUGAAGGACAGAAUAAUGCAUAAAUAUUAAAACUAAUAUAAAACAGGGAAAAUUUUAUUAAUUAAAAAUCCUCAAGUAUCAGACAGUUUUUAAGUAUUAGGUUUGAAUCAUUUUGAAUGAGUUUAAAUUAGUUUGAAAAAUUAAAUGAUAAAUUAUCACUGAGUGACUUUAAAAUGUGAAACAUUUAAAUGAAUAUAAAUCCUAAAUACACCCCAUAAUGUCCUCAAUGAGCUUAAAUUUUAAAGCCCUGAAUGGUUUCUGUAGGUCAAAGGUCAUGUGAGGAGAUAGGGGCUGAAGGUUUUUCAAGCGCUCUAGGAAAGGGUUUUAAGUGUCAUCCCCAGUGCUAUGUGUACUGAGCCUGGCUUCAUGUGUCUCAUAUGGCCAUUAGAAGCAGCUUUCCAGUCAGCUGUGUGUCUCCAGGUGCACAAAUUGGUUGCCAUGGGGACCUUGGAUGAAUAACUAUAGCAGGAGAAAGAAGGCUUGAAGCUAAGGAAACAGGACUCCAAGUAGGCCCUGACGCUCAUCCUCUGUAUAAAUUCAUAAGGAGCUUGUGAGAAUACAAGAUUUUGCUGAACACAUUAAUACAAUUUAUUAUCACAAUCCUCAAAACACCCCAUAAUAUCUUCAAUGAGCUGAAUUUUUGAAGCCCAGAAUGGUUUCUGUAGCUCAAAGUUUGUGGGUGGAGAUAGGUGGCGAAGCAGACACAUAUUAACUGUGUGUACAAGCAGCUGAACUGCAAGGUAGACCUCAUAAAGCAACAAGUACAAGAAUGUGUGUGUGUGUGUGUGUGUGUGUGUGUGUGUGUGUGUCUCGUUAAUGACUGCAUCCUAAACAGCUGUGAGAUCAAAGGCAAAUCACUGACCUACUGUUUGAAUGACAAGCAGCUGAACAGCAGAGGAUUAGAAGCCUGUGAACUUCUUCACAUAGCGUGAUUUCCUUAAGUCCCAGAAUGAAAAUAAGAACAUCGUACGAAUCCUCCGUCCUUCAUGAACACAAUGAUGUGUUUUUCAUGUCUGUACUCCGAAAAAUGAGGCCACAACAGCGAGUUAAAAAAGUCUGAGCCUGAGUGACGAUAAGGAUUUUCUUGGAGAAGAAAUACAUUAGGGCCAAUGGGGAGAUAUUUGCGCCUAUCUGGACAGUUGGUCACCUGCUGGCCAAGGGGUACGAUUUAAUGAUUUGAAACCUCUUUUGUGAGAAGCAGGACACAUAUACCUCCAUUUUGAUGUAUUAUUUGUGUCAGUGGAGUGAGAUUUGUGGGCGUGGGAGCGAUAUAUUCGAGCGAGGUUCUGUCGAUCAGAGACGAGGUCUGCACUCUAGCUGAUGACAUCAUCACUCUAAACUCUCCAAUACACACCCAUUAUAAAGCUUGAAAUUUGCUGAAAACCACAAGUUGCAUAAAGCUAAAUUGUGGAAGAACUGUAAAAGAUAUCAAAAAACUGAGUACAACUAUAAUAGUCGACAAGUGAAUGAACAUUUUAAAGCAAAAAUGAGGUCUCUAGGUGAAAGUAUGCUGAAGUUAUAAGGUCUAGAAGGUGGAAGAAUGAAAGGAAGAAGUUGAAGAUUUCCCCAUUGACUUCAAUGUUAAAAUUUUUGCACAAAAAGUUAAAAAAAACAAAAAGUAUAAAGGGUAGAAAGAAAAAAAAUACACGCAAUAAUGUCCUGAAGGAGUGGAAUAGUUUAAAGUUUGAAUGGUUGAAAUCGGACAAAGUUUGAAGGAGGAGAAGCG
This is a non-coding RNA of Xyrichtys novacula (pearly razorfish), 47463 nucleotides long. The record is from the annotation of a GenBank genome assembly. NCBI's taxonomy places the organism in Eukaryota, Metazoa, Chordata, Actinopteri, Labriformes, Labridae.